This 59584-nucleotide long non-coding RNA is filed under the name Triticum aestivum (bread wheat). RNAcentral describes it as "long non-coding RNA (TAES_LNC019424)". The record is from RNAcentral. Lineage: Eukaryota; Viridiplantae; Streptophyta; Magnoliopsida; Poales; Poaceae.
UUUUUUUUUGUUUUUUUCGUUGAGGGAAGUGCGAAUUGAUUUGGUACGUACAAGUACAAUAUUACACGUUAGGCUUCUCCCUAAAAUUCAACCUGCGCCUUGUUAUAUCCCGAAAAUUUAGAUAUCGUGCUCCCAAAAUUGGCACCUUCACAACCCGCGCCUUGCUAUCCCUAAAUUACAACGCGCGCAAAAACUCCCUCCAGCUGCCAAAUCCCGAGAUGCGAAAUGCCCCUUCUAACCUUGAGCCGAAAGGGCUGCUAGUUCAAAUCGGUGGGGGUACUUUUGUAACACACCCUAUAUUUUGGACAAGCGCGUCCCCAAGUCAUGGUUCCCCCCUCCCAUCGGCUCCUUUUCGCCAUUCGAAAUCUGGCCGCCAUAACCUCUCGGCUCCAGCCGCGAAACCCCACCCUCCUCCGUCCGCCACCUCCCCGCUACCCAGCCGGACCCUCUUCCCCGACGACGUCGUCCACCGCAACAGCUCGACAUCCCUCAUCCGCCUCCCUGGAUGAGGAUCUAUCGUCCAUCCCGUCGUCCCGCCGGUUCAGCCGCCCCGUCCUCCACCUCCAAGGCGAUGCUCCGACGAUCGCCUCGUCUAUCGCGGCUGCUCCAUCCCCACAGCGCCGCCUUAACCUGCUCCACCAGAACCGCAACAUCCUCACCGACUCCUCAGACGAAGCCGAGGCCUACUCGGCGCCACCAAAGAGGUUGUACACUCAUCGCAUCGCACCUUCUCCUUAACUCGACCUCCCGGCGCUGACGGUGCUCCAUCCCACACCCCCAUGGAGCGGCUACCUCGAAGCCGGCGCCGCGGCGACAUCUCCACGGCGGCUCUCCCCAGUGCAAGGCCCCUUCGGCGGCAGGGUCCAUACCAGCCGGAUCUGCUGCUGCUGCUCCGGCUGUCGCUCGGUCGCUCGCGCUGCUGCUGCUCCGGCUCUCGCUCGCGCUGCUGCUGCUGCCCGGCUCUUGCUCGCUCGCGCCGCUGUUGCUGCUCCGGCUCUCGCUCGCUCGCGCUGCUGCUCUCCCCCUCGCACGUGCUGCUGCUCAGCUCCGAUUUAGUAACACUUCAGUCGACUGAAUUGACUUUUGGGUCAGUCGAUUUUCAGGGGAUGGUGGGUCUCGCCGGAGUUAAGGAAGAACCACCCGCGGCGGGGAGGGGGGCUCGCCAGAGAGGUACCCCACUAUCUAUCUUAGGGUUCUGGGUAGGGUGCUGCUCGCCGGCGGUGGGGGCGGUGGUGGGGCGGUGGCGUGGGGAUCNNNNNNNNNNNNNNNNNNNNNNNNNNNNNNNNNNNNNNNNNNNNNNNNNNNNNNNNNNNNNNNNNNNNNNNNNNNNNNNNNNNNNNNNNNNNNNNNNNNNNNNNNNNNNNNNNNNNNNNNNNNNNNNNNNNNNNNNNNNNNNNNNNNNNNNNNNNNNNNNNNNNNNNNNNNNNNNNNNNNNNNNNNNNNNNNNNNNNNNNNNNNNNNNNNNNNNNNNNNNNNNNNNNAUGGCUGGCCGGGGCGGCGGCGGACCGACGGUGGGGAGUUGUUUCGGGGCGGCGGCGGACCAGCGGUGGGGAGUUGUUUCGGGGCGGCGAGGCGGCGCGGGGUUCGGCCGGUGGUGGCUGGUGGCUCAGGGGGUUGCAGGUUGAAGAUGAACUGCAGGCCCUCCCUAAACUAUCCCAUGUGAAGUGCCUCUCUUCUACCAUUGCGUUCAGUUUCGACAGUAACAUUCAGAUUCCACAGUAAAUUUCAGUUUCUAUAGUUAAGUUCAGAGUCAAUAGUUUUUACCUCAUCUGUUGUAGUCAGGUGGUUUUUGGUGAUGUAAAUUUUACAUCUAUCACUUUUUGGUAAUGCAUUUUACAUCAUCUAUUGGAGAUGCUAUUAGAAUUCCACUUGAGAUUAACAAUGUAUGUCUUGUGCUGCUUCAGCCUUGACGUCUUACGGCUCACCGGAGCUGCUCCAAGGACGGAACGAUCCAUCACAACAGAGCAGUGCCCUGGACGCCGUCUACAGAUUCCUUAGAUCUUCCUCCACACCUCCGACAGCCACCUCUUCCUCAACUUCUUCAGCGACCAACCCAAUGAUGCUGAGGUCGACACGGCUAUGGCAAAGAGGUUGUACACUUGUCGCAUCACUUAUUACUCUACAUUCAUGUCGAUCCAUUAGGGCUAUUGUGGUUCAACGGAAAAACAUAGCAAUAGUUGUGGGCCACAUAUCGAGGCAGUAAUGAAUAGUAUCUCUGUCUAAUAUCUGGUUCACCUAGGGUAUGCCUAUGUUGUUCAUCUUGGAUGGGAAACAAAUUGUAAAGCAAUCAUCAUCUGUUUUUUUAAUUAAAUUAAAGCAAUCAUCAGCCUGCUACCAUUAUUUUUGGAUCCAUCCACUGGUUGUUACCAUUACUCCAGAUUGUUACCAUUACUCUAGAUUUCUGCAUGCUCUCCUAACAUAAUCUCACUAUAUUUUUUUUGUAUGCAUGUCAGAUAUUGUACACAGUCAUGUUGAACAUGUAGAGAAAAAGAGAAGAGUUUUGCGCGGCAAUACAAUGUCAUGCAGACAUCGCUCCAUGGUAGGUUCAAUGGCAAACCCUCCCCCCACCCCUCACCAGAUUGUAAUCCAGAGGAAGAUAUCUGUUCUGAGGCGGAUUCAGACGCAGCUGAUCACUCCUAUUUACCCCCCAAGGUGUUUGCUCUAACUUGGCAUGAUGAUGUUAGUCAUAUCAUGCAUAUGUUGCCUUGUAGUGCCUACUUUCAACAUCAUAUAUGUCAUCUGCUUAGUUUAGACAUGUUCUGUAAUGCCACUUGUUUAGUUUCAAUAUCAUAUAUGGGAAUUAUGCAAUGCCAUCAUGUUUAACCAGGCAUCAUAUAUUUGAAUGAUAUCUAGCCCAUCCUUUUCUUCAUUAAAUUUCCAUUUGUCGACAAUGUUUGUACAUUAAACUACUCUUCCUGUGAAUCAUCCAUUUGAGUGGGUGAUGGAAAAAUCUGGAGUGAAAACAAGGCCUUCAGAGCAGACAGUGCUACCUGUCGAAGCAGAUCUCUUGCUGGGUCCCGAUAGCUCCUCAGAGAUGGAUUCAGAGACAAAUGACCAGUCCUAUUCCCCACCGAGGUGUAUGCUCUAACUUGGCACGGUUCUACUGCUCAUAUCAUGCAUAUGGUGUCUUGCAUUGCAUAGUUUAGACAUCAUAUACACAAUAUUCAACACCAUGUUCUUAGUUCAGACAUCAUAUAUGUGAAUGCCCUCCGCUUAGCAUAUAAAUCACAUAUGUGAAUUAAAUCAUGCGGUCCUGGUUACUUAGAUAACAUGUAUGUGAAUUAUGUCAUGCGAUCAUGUUUAGUUAGUCAUCAUAUCUUUGAAUUAUGUUAUGCUAUGCUAUCCAGUUUAGAUAGACAUCAUAUAUGUGAAAUUAUGUCAUGCUAUCCAUUUUAGUUAAACAAAUACAUGUCAAUUAUUUAAUGCCCUCUUUUUUCCACACUAUCUAUUGCAUCUAUCUCUCAUACAAUGUAUGUACAUUCAAUUAUGUUUCCUGUUUAUCAGCCAUUUGAAUUGGAGCGGGUGAUGGCAGUAUCUAUCGCAGUAAAAACACGGUCUUCAAAUAAAACAGUGAUACCUCUUGGUGGAGAUAGCACCCCGGUUGUACAUGCACGAGAACCAGCCCUACCACACAUAACCCAGACUCUCGCAGAUUUUACCCCUACUGCGAUGGACAGAGAACCAGCUUCACCCAAUCUAACCCAACCCCAGCAGAUAGUAACCCAGGUCCUGUUGACACAGCACCAUCUCCACCACAGAGCUCCCAAACAAGAGCUGUUAGUAAGGCAGCUCCAGUGCCCAAAGCGCCAGUACUACCACGGCGAACCCCAACUCCACCAGUUAGUACACCUAUUCAUGUGGAGGAAGCACAACCAGCCAUUCAUAGUUUAGCAUCUAUCACAUUUGAUGUUGUUAAAUCCUAUGUGCGUAUCUUCCCAUCAUGGAAAUAUUAUACUGAAGAUGAAGGGAAAUGCCAGUUGCAGGUGUUUGUCCAGGAGUUAUGUGUAAGUAAUGUUAUUCAUGGCAAUUACUUUGCUUUGUCCCAUACAUUCUACCUCCAUGAUGGUUAUAAUACAACAAAAUUUCCCAUUUUUCUCUAUAGAGAAGGACCAAUUUGGAAACUCAGGAUGAGGUAACUUGUGCUAAUACCUCUGCUAUCUUCAAGAAUGCUUGGUGGCAGUAUCGGAAUUACCUGAAGAAAACGCACUUCACUGGCAAAGAAACUCAUCAAAUUCCCUUACGUUCUCCUGAGACACAUUUACUGGACGAUGACUGGGAAUGCCUUGAUCUUUACUGGUCCCGAACCAAGACUGUGGUAAGGUUGAUGAGCUCAUUUUAUUUUAAGUGCUAUAUGCUUGCGUCUUACUGUACUCUGUUCAUGUAGAACAAGUGCUUAAACCUGAAGAACAACUGUUCUCAUUUAAGAUUCCAUUACUAUCGUGCAUACUGCUUUGCUCUUGUAUCACUGUAUUUACUCAUACAAACUUAUUUUUAAAUUGAACUAUCCAAUGGAAACUUCAAUGGCACAACAGGUACGUUUAUGCAUGUUUCUUUAACAGGUUUGCUCUUAUAAAUAGCUCUGUUGAUUUCAAUUUCAAUUGUGUAUACAGUUGACUUCUCAUAUCAUGCACAUUACUAGCAUCAUAACAGGGCCAAUAGUGUUGUUGUACAUGUAGACCCGUGGUACCCAUCUGAAAUCUUGUUGUGUCGUUUAGUUUCCCACGCUUUGUAUUCUUUCAGUGCUGCUUUCUCUUGAACUGAUAUGAUUUGAACCGUGUCUCUAUUUUGAUUUGGCAAGACAAUGCAGUGACCAUAGGACAUAGAUAUAUGUUUGUUUGAUGCUUUUAUAAUGUAUUACUUGGCAAUAGAGGACUUGGUAGUUUAAUCUUGUCCACCUUACUAAUGAACUGGUUCACCGAAAUGAGUUUCAUAUAGUAGUACAUGCUAAACCUGUUAUGUGUCUGCUUGUUUUUCUUUUAGAAUGCUGACAGAAUAUUGGGGAAGGGUGCCUUAUUAAGCAAUGAUAAAGGAAGUAAUGCAGAUAAGGUUCAGGAUCAUGAGACAUCCUUGUUGGUCUCCAACAAAGCUGAUAAAACAGCUAAGGAAAACUAUCUUGAAGACAGUGAGGCAACCCCAAAGUCCUGUCUUGGUUUACUGUUCGAGUUAUUGGCCACUACCGCUUGCACAAGCUAUUCAAACUCACUGUCUGAAUCAGUUCGGUUUCUUGAGUCUCAACUACAAGCUGAAAGACAACGAUCAGCUGUGUUGCGACAAGAAGCGGAAGGACCGCGGAAGUCCCUAGAGCAUUCAGAUGCAUACUUUCUGGUGCAACAGCAAGCGUUGGAGGAUUUUAGCGCCAAACAGGACAAAGCUAAUAAGCUUGCUAAGCUUAUUGCCAGCAUGGUGGAUACCCAGGAUAACGUUUCUUGAGCUCUUCUGAAGCUGUUUCAGUUAUGGACUUGUUUUGCUGCUGCGUUUAUUUGCACCGGUGGCCAAUUUUGACGGCCAGUGUAUGUAAUAUGCUGGUUUGUUCCCUAUAUUUGCACUGGUGGCGAACUUUGAUGCCUAGUGGAUGUAAUGUGUGCAAUAGCUGUAAUAGGCUAGCGUUAGUUGCUUGCUUAUUUAUUUCCUUAUUGUCUUGUUUAGUUGUUUGCUUGUAGUCACUGCAGUUCCUUUUCCGCGUUUUUUAGUGGCCACAAUAACCUAGUUUUGGUAACUAGGCCACAAUAAUCAUGGCAACACACGGACUGUUGUAACCAUGGGCCUCCUGCAGGCCGUAGGAUCCGUGGGCCUUCUACGGGCCGUAGGAUCCAUGGGCCUUUUAUGGGCCAUAGGAUCCAUGGACUUUCUACGGGCCGUAUGAUCCAUGGGCCUUCUACAGGCCGUAGGAUCCAUGGGCCUUCUACGGGCCGUAGGAUCCAUUGGCCUUCUACGGGUCGUAUAAUCAUUUCACCAAACAUGGGUCGUACUAUUCAUGGACCAUAACGGGCCGUUAAAAGGUCGUAUUUGAUAAUGCUAUGAAAACAACCCAACGGGUUAACGGGCCACAAACGGGCCGAAUGUAACCAUGGGCUGUAUUUGGCCCACAAACGGAACAGGCCAGUAACAGACCGUAUCUAACCGAAUUCUAGAAAUGACCCCAAGAAUAAAUGGGCCCUUACAAGCCGAAAGUUAACACGGGCUGGAAACGGCCGAGGAAAUAAUGGGCCGUUAAUGGGUAUAAAGCGAUGCACUGUUCAUUAUGGGCCAGUUUCAUCCCGGGCCUUUAAUGGGCCGAGAGUUACAAAGAGCCUCAUAUGGGCCGAAAGACAUCAUGGGCCAUACAUGGGCCGGAAGUUACAACGGGCUGGAAUCAUAUUGGACGGCCCAGAUGAAGCAAUUGGGAUUAAUUUCGAUAGGCCGUAAUGGGCCGGUAGUAAGCGGGCCGUAAAUGGGCUAUAUACGAAUAGGCCGUUAACAGGCUUUUCGUGGGCCAGCCCAUUACCUUUUGACCAAGUCAAACGGGCCAGCCUUUUCACCGGAAUGGGCCUCUGUUGGGCCGUGCCACGUGUUGACGUAUCAUAGGCGCCUCUUGUCCAAUGAGUGGAUGACAUCUGUCCGAACGUUGAGCCGACACGUGUUUCCUCCGGCAAAUGAGAAUUUUACACGUGGAAAAUUCCCAUUGGUCCGGGCUGUUAAUGGGUUAUCAGAUCCAAAACCGGACCCGAUAGCUUAACAGCGUCCCGUUACGGUGGAUGCCACAUGUCAGUCACCCUUGACGAAAGCACUUCUAUGACGCAUGAUUUAUCGUAAUGGAAGUGGACACUUCCAUGAUGAUAAUUUUGGUAAUGUCAUGGAACACUUCUAUGACAGCACAGGUAUGACUAUCUUGAUUCUGUCAUAAAUUUGUCAUGGAUGUACAUGCAUGACAGAAAACGUGACCUACUGUGAUAAACACGUAUCAUCACGGAAGUGUCUUUUUUUGUAGUGUAUACAUACCAAAUCAUAUCCCUGCCAUAUGGAUAUGAUCAACCAACACAUAUACAUACCAAAUCAAAAGUCCAUAUGCAACAUAUAUAGCUAGCCAACAUAUCCAACAACAAGCAUACAAUGGUUUCAUCCAUACAUACAUAUAGGUAGCAAGUUUAACAUUGUUCAUCCUACAAAAUCAAAACAAAAAGGAAGCACAAGGAGAAGAGUAGACUCCAUCAACGCAAGCUUCCUCAUCUAAAGCAAAAUAAGAAGAAGAAGAAGAAGAAGAUUUCUUCUCUUUAUUUUUCUCCUCUCCUCUUCUUUAUCUUCUUAUUCUAACUAAGGUAGGUAAUAAUGCCAUAGUUUAGCUAAGCUAGGUAAAAAUGCUAAGUGUCGGGGGUGGCCGCGGGGGUGGAGGAGAGGGGCGCCAGGGCAGCACGGCCGGGGCGGCCGGGGCAGCGAGGCGGGCGGCGGAGCGGCGAGGGCAGCUCGCGCACGGGGGCGGCCGCGCGGGUCUGAUGAGGGAGGGAGAGAGAGGGGAGAGAGAGAGGGACGUGGGGCUGGCUGCUUUUUAGUUUAGGUCACAGCUCUUCGUCGUCUGCUAUCGAACGGCAAAGAGACGAGCUAACGGACAUUAGUUGGCCAAUUUCUUUGCUGCCCGCUAGCAGACGGCAAAGAAAGUGGCCGUUAGGUGGCCCUCGCUAGUGCGCCACCCUCCUUCUUUGUUGUCUGCUAGCUGACGGCAGAGCUUCUAUGCCGUUAGCUAGCAGACGGCAACGAGGUAGGUGACGGCAAACACUAUCUUUGCCGUCAGUUUUCUUUAACCUGAUGGCAAAGAAUGUCUUUGCCAUCCGCUAACAGAGGGCAAAGAGCCGGCUGAUGGCAAAGAUCCUGAUUCCAGUAGUGGUGGGCGCUAGAGCUUGGAGGUUGGAAGACAGGAGCUAAAAGAAGGCAUGGGAAAAAGGAGGGAUCUUUAUCCUCUUAUAGACGGUGAAAAUACCAAACGUCCCCCUCUCAAGCCAUAAAACUUGCCUGUUCCCAACAACAUCGUGCAUAAGGCGCAGUUGGAUUACCCAAAUCACAUUGAUGAGAAUCCCGUAAUGGGCGGGCAUGAUCUCUAUUUUGACGGGACGUGCCAAUGAGGGCUAGACCUCGAAAUGCGAAACUGGAGGCGUGAAAACGGUUCGAAAUAUUAAAGAGUCAAGUGUGACGCUUCCCCGCAAAGUUGUCAGUAAAAGACAAUGUUCCUAUUUUGACAUCUUGCCUCGUGGCUAAGGGUUGUAUUGAUUGUGCAGAGCCGGAUAUAGUUCCUUCACGCAGGAAGCUAACUUAAAGUAUUCAAGAGAAGGAACCCGCCUUGCAAUGCCGAAGAUAAUCCGCGUGUCGAACACAUCAUCAUUGAAGACUGAUUCAGGGGCUACUGUGGGAGUCCUAGAUUAGGGGGUCCUCGGGUGUCCGGACUAUUCAAUAUGGGCCCGACUGAUGGGCCAUGAAGAUAAAGCAUAAGAAUAUCCCCCGUGUCCGGGUAGGACUCCUAUAUGCUUGAACGGCAAGUUUGGUGUCCGGAUGUAUAGUUUCCUUCUUCUGUAAACCGACUCUGUACAACCCUAAGCCCCUCCGAUGUGUAUAUAAACCGGAGGGUUUUAGUCUGUGGAGGCCAUCAGAAUAAUCAUAGGCUAGAUAGCUAGGGUUUAGCCAUUACGAUCUCGAGGUAGAUCAACUCUUGUAACCCCUAUACUUAUCGAAUACAAUCAAGCAGGACGUAGAGUUUUACCUCCUUUAAGAGGGCCCGAACCUGGGUAAACAUUGUGUCCCCAUCGUACCUUAUUACCAUUGAUCCUCAGACACACAGCUUGGGACCCCCUACCCGAGAUCUGCCGGUUUUGACACCGACAAUGUACUCAUUGAAAAUCUUAUCAAGCGUCUUGAUCUAUCUCUAUAGAUCUUGAUGCCUAAUAUGUAAGCAGCUUCACCGAGGUCUUUCAUUGAAAAAUUCUUAUUCAAGUAUCCUUUUAUGCUAUCCAGAAAUUCUAUAUCAUUUCCAAUCAGCAAUAUGUCAUCCACAUAUAAUAUUAGAAAUGCUACAGAGCUCCCACUCACUUUCUUGUAAAUACAGGCUUCACCGUAAGUCUGUAUAAAACCAUAUGUAUGAUCACCUCAUCAAAGCGUGUAUUCCAACUCCGAGAUGCUUAAACCAGUCCAUAGAUGGAUCGUUGGAGCUUGCACACUUUGUUAGCACCUUUAGGAUUGACAAAACCUUCUGGUUGCAUCAUAUACAACUCUUCCUUAAGAUAUCCAUUAAGAAAUACAGUUUUGACGUCCAUUUGCCAGAUUUCUUAAUCAUAAAAUGUGGCAACUGCUAACAUGAUUCGGACAAACUUAAGCAUCGCUAUGGGUGAGAAAGUCUCAUCGUAGUCAACUCCUUGAACUUGUCGAAAAGCUUUUGCGAUAAGUCGAGCUUUGUAGAUAGUGACAUUACUAUCAGCGUCAGCCUUCUUCUUAAAAAUCCAUUUAUUCACUAUGGCUUGCCGAUCAUUGAGCAAGUCCACCAAAGUCCACACUUUGUUGUCAUACAUGGAUCCUAUCUCAGAUUUCAUGGCCUCAAGCCACUAGUUGGAAUCUGGGCUCAUCAUAGCUUCUUCAUAAUUCGUAAGUUCGCCAUGGUCUAGUAACAUGACUUCCAGUACAGGAUUACCGUACCACUCCUGUGCAGAACAUGCUUUGUUCAUCCUACGAGGCCCAGUAGUAACUUGAUCUGAAGUUUCAUGAUCAUCAUCAUUAACUUUCUCUCCAGUUGGUGUAGGCAUCACGGGAACGGAUUUCUCUGAUGUGCUACUUUCCAAAUUGAGAGAAGGUAUAAUUACCUCAUCAAGUUCUACUUUCCUCCCACUCACUUCUUUCGAGAGAAACUCCUUUUCUAAAAAGGACCCAUUCUUAGCAACAAAGAUCUUGCCUUCAGAUCUGUGAUAGAAGGUGUACCCAAUUGUUUCUUUAGGGUAUUCUGUGAAGACACACUUCUCCGAUUUGGGUUCGAGCUUAUCAGGCUGAAGCCUUUUGACAUAAGUGUUGCAACCCCAAACUUUAAGAAACGACAGUUUAGGUUUCUUGCCAAACCACAGUUCAUGCGGUGUCGUCUCAACGGAUUUAGACGGUGCCCUAUUUAACAUGAAUGCAGCUGUCUCUAUGCAUAACCCCAAAACGAUAGUGGUAAAUCGGUAAGAGACAUCAUAGAUCGCACCAUAUCUAAUAAAGUAUGGUUACGACGUUUGGACACACCAUUACGCUGUGGUGUUCAAGGUGGCGUGAGUUGUGAAAAUAUUCCACAUUGUUUUAAAUGAAGGCCAAACUCGUAACUCAAAUAUUCACCUCCGCGAUUAGAUCGUACAAACUUUAUUUUCUUGUUACGAUGAUUCUCAACUUCACUCUGAAAUUCUUUGAACUUUUCAAAUGUUUCAGACUUGUGUUUCAUUAAGUGGAUAUACCCGCAUCUACUCAAGUCAUCUCUGAAGGUCAAAAAAUAAUGAUACCCGUCGCGUGCCUUAACACUCAUCAGACCGCAUACAUCGGUAUGUAUUAUUUCCAAUAAGUCAUUGGCUCGCUCCAUUGAUCCGGAGAAUGGAGUUUUAGUCAUCUUGCCCAUGAGGCAUGGUUCGCAAGUAUCAAAUGAUUCAUAAUCAAGUGAUUCCAAAAGUCCAUCUACAUGGAGUUUCUUCAUGCGCUUUACACCAAUAUGACCUAAACGGUAGUGCCACAAGUAUGUUGCACUAUCAUUAUUAACUUUGCAUCUUUUGGCAUCAAUAUUAUGAAUAUGUGUAUCACUACGAUCGAGAUUCAAUAAACCAUUCACAUUGGGUGUAUGGCCAUAGAAGGUUUUAUUCAUUUAAACAAAACAACAAUUAUUCCUUGACUUAAAUGAAUAACUGUAUUGCAAUAAACAUGAUAUAAUCAUAUUCAUGCUCAACGCAAACACCAAAUAACAUUUAUUUAGGUUCAACACUAAUCCCAAAGGUAAAGGGAGUAUGCGAUGGUGAUCUUAUCAACCUUGGAAUCACUUCCAACACACAUCGUCACCUCGCCCUUAACUAGUCUUUGUUUAUUCUGCAACUCUUGUUUCGAGUUACUAAUCUUAGCAACUGAACCGGUAUCAAAUACCCAGGGGUUACUAUGAACACUAGUAAAGUACACAUCAAUAACAUGUAUAUCAAAUAUACCUUUGUUCACUUUGCCAUCCUUCUUAUUCGCCAAGUAUUCGGGGUAGUUCCGCUUCUAGUGACCAUUCCCUUUGUAGUAGAAGCACUCAGUUUCAUGCUUAGGUCCAGCUUUGGGCUUCUUCAUGGGAGGGGCAACUUGCUUGCCAUUCUUCUUGAAGUUCUCUUUCUUUUCCUUUACCCUUUUGUUGAAACUAAUGGUCUUGUUAACCAUCAACACUUGAUGCUCCUUUUUGACUUCUACCUUCGCCGAUUCCAGCAUCACGAAGAGCUCGGGAAUCUUUUUCGUUAUCCCUUGCACAUUAUAGUUCAUCACGAAGUUCUAGUAGCUUGGUGAUAGUGACUAGAGAACUCUAUCAAUCACUAUCUUAUCUGGAAGAUUAACUCCCACUUCAUUCAAGUGAUUGUAGUACCCAGACAUUCUGAGCACAUGCUCACUGGUUGAGCUAUUCUCCUCCAUCUUGUAGGCAAAGUACUUGUCAAAGGUCUCAUACCUCUCGACAUGGGCAUGAGUCUGAAAUACCAAUUUAAGCUCUUGGAACAUCUCAUAUGCUCCAUGGCGUUUCAAAACAUUUUUGAAGUCCCGGUUCUAAGUCGUAAAGCAUGGCGCACUAAACUAUCAAGUAGUCAUCAUUACGAGCUUGCCAAACAUUCAUAACGUCGGCAUCUGCUCCUGCAAUAGGUCUGUCACAUAGCGGUGCAUCAAAGACAUAAUUCUUUUGUGCAGCAAUGAGGAUAAUCCUCAAAUCACGGACCAAGUCCGCAUCAUUGCUACUAUCAUCUUUCAACUUAUUUUUCUCUAGGAACAUAUCAAGAAUAAAAACGGGGAGCUACAUCGCGAGCUAUUGAUCUAUGACAUAAUUUGCAAAUACUAUCAGGACUAAGUUCAUGAUAAAUUAAGUUCAAUUAAUCAAAUUACUUAAGAACUCCCACUUAAAUAGACAUCCCUCAAGUCAUUUAAGUGAUACGUGAUCCAAAUCAACUAACCCAUGUCCAAUCAUCACGUGAGAUGGGGUAGUCAUCAAUGGUGAACAUCUCUAUGUUGAUCAUAUCUACUAUAUGAUUCACGUUCAUCCUUUCAGUCUCCAGUGUUCCGAGGCCAUGUCUGUACAUGCUAGGCUCGUCAAGUUUAACCCGAGUAUUCUGCAUGUGCAAAACUGUCUUGCACCCGUUGUAUAUGAACGUAGAGUCUAUCACACCCGAUCAUCACGUGGUGUCUCAACACGACGAACUGUCGCAACGGUGCAUACUCAGGGAGAACACUUAUACCUUGAAAUUUAGUGAAGGGGUCAUCUUAUAAUGCUACUGCCGUACUAAGCAAAAUAAGAUGCAGAAAAGAUAAACAUCACAUGUAAUCAAAAUAUGUGACAUGAUAUGGCCAUGAUCUUGUGCUUUCGAUCUCCAUCUCCAAAGCAUCAUCAUGAUCUCCACCUUCACUGGCUCGACACCUUGAUCUCCAUCGUAGCGUUGUGGUUGUCUCGCCAACUAUUGCUAACUCAUAGCGAUAAAGUAAAGCAAUUACAUGGCAUAUGCAUUUCAUACAAUAAAGAGACAACCAUACGGCUCCUGCCAGUUGCCAGAUAUCUUACAAAACAUGAUGAUCUCAUACAAUAAUGUAUAUCUCAUCAUGUCUUGACCAAAUCAUAUCAAAACAUACCCUGCAAAAACAAGUUAGAUGUCCUCUACUUUGUCGUUGCAAGUUUUACGUGGCUGCUACGGGCUUCUAGCAAGAGCCGUUCUUACCUAUGCAUAAAACCACAAGGGUGUUUCGUCAAGUUUGUUGUUUUAACCUUCUUCAAGGACAGGCCAUAGUCAAAUUCGAUUCAACUAAAGUAGGAGAAACAGACACCCGCCAGCCACCUUUAUGCAAAACUAGUUGCAUGUCUGUCGGUGGAACCGGUCUCAUGUACGUGGACAUGUAAAGUUGGUCCGGGCCGCUUCAUCCCACAAUACCGCCGAAUCAAAAUAAGACGUUGGUGGUAAGUAGUAUGACUAUCACCGCCCACAACUCUUUGUGUUCUACUCGUGCAUAUCAUCUACGCAUAGACAUGGCUCUUGAUGCCACUGUUGGGAAACGUUGCAUGGAAAAACAAAAUUUUAUUUACGCACACGCAAUUAUCUAUCCAUGGAUAUGCAUAGCAACAAGCGGGUGAGUGUGUCUACGUACCCUCGUAGACUGUAAGCGGAAGCGUUUCACAACGCGGUUGAUGUAGUCGAACUUCUUCGCGCUUCAACCGAUGAAGUACCGAACGCGCGGCACCUACGCGUUCUGCACAUGUUCAGCUCGGUGACGUCCCUCGCCUUCUUGAUCCAGCAAGACGUGGAGGUAGUAGAUGAGUUCCGUCAGCACGACGCGUGGUGAAGGUGAUGGUGAAGUGAUCUCCGCAGGGCUUCGCCUAAGCACUACAAAAAUAUGAUCGGGGGUGUAAAUAGUGGAGGGGGGCGCCGCACACGGCAAGGCAAUUGUCUGGUGUCUGCUAGGGGCACCCCUCCCCCCCCCCAGAUAUAUAUAUAUAUAGGUGGGAGGGGGAGGGGAGAGGCCAUGAGGCACCCCAAGUAGGACCGAAUCCUACUUGGGCUCCUCCCAAGCCACGCGCCCCCUGCCAUAUAUAUCGGAGGGGGGAGGAAAGAGGGGGGAGGGGGAAGGAAGGGGGAAUCAUAUUCCCUUUCUUUGCUUUCCUCCUUCCCCUUUCCUUCUCCACCUUGGCCGGACCAUAUGGGGGGCGCACCAGCCCCUUGUGGCUGGUCUUCCCUCUUGGCCCAUAAGGCCCAUAUCUUUUGCCGGGGGUGCCCCGAACCCCUUCCGGUGACCUGAUAUGUAUCCAGUACCCUCCGAAACACUUCCGGUGUCUGAAAACCGUCGUCCUAUAUAUCAAUCUUUACCUAUAGACCAUUUCGAGACUUAUCGUCAUGUCCAUGAUCUCAUCCGGGACUCCGAACAACAUUCAGUCACCAAAUCACAUAACUCAUAUAAUACUAUAUUGUCAUCGAACGUUAAGCGUGCGGACCCUACGGGUUCGAGAACUAUGUAGACAAGACCGAGACACCUCUCCGGUCAAUAACCAACAGCGGAACCUGGAUGCUCAUAUUGGCUCCUACAUAUUAUACGAAGAUCUUUAUCGGUCGAACCGUUAUGACAACAUACGUAAUUCCCUUUGUCCAUCGGUAUGUUACUUGCCCGAGAUUCGAUUGUCGGUAUCUUCAUACCUAGUUCAAUCUUGUUAUCGGAGAGUCUCUUUACUCGUUCCGUAAUACAUCAUCUCAUGACUAACUCAUUAGUUGUUUGCUUCCAAGCUUAUGAUGUGUAUUACUGAGAGGGCCCAGAGAUACCUCUCCGGUACUCGGAGUGACAAAUCCUAAUCUUGAUCUAUGCCAACUCAACAGACACCUUCGAAGAUACCUGUAGAGCAUCUUUAUAAUCACCCAGUUACAUUGUGAUGUUUGAUAGCACACAAGGCAUUCCUCCGGUAUCCGGGAGUUGCAUAAUCUCAUAGUCGAAGGAAUAUGUAUUUGACAUGAAGAAAGCAAUAUCAAUAGAACUGAACGAUCAUUAUGCUAAGCUAACGGACGGGUCUUGUCCAUCACAUCAUUCUCCUAAUGAUGUGAUCCAGUUAUCAAAUGAAAACUCAUGUCCAUGGUUAGGAAAUCUUAACCAUCUUUGAUCAACAAGCUAGUCUAGUAGAGGCUUACUAGGGACACUAUGUUUGUUUAUGUAUUCACACAUGUAUUAAGGUUUCCGAUCAAUACAAUUCUAGCAUGAAUAAUAAACCUUUAUCACGAAUAAGGAAAUAUAAAAUAACAACUUUAUUAUUGCCUCUAGGGCAUAUUUCCUUCAAUGGAGAUCAUGACGAUGCUUUGUAGAUGGAGAUCAAAAGCACAAGAUGAUGAUGGCCAUAACAUGUCACAUACUUUUGAUUGCAUGUGAUGUUUAUCCUUUAUGCAUCUUAUUUUUGCUUAGAAUGGCGGUAGCAUUAUAAGGUGAUCGCUUCACUAAAUUUCAAGAUAAAAGUGUUCUCCCCGAGUAUUCACCGUUGGCAAAGUUCGUCAUCUCGAAGCACCUCGUGAUGAUCGGGUGUGAUAGACUCUAUGUUCACGUACAACGGCUGUAAACCAGUUUUGCACAUGCAGAAUACUUGGGUUAAACUUGAUGAGCCUAGUAUGUACAGACAUGGUCUCGGAACACUGGAGACCGAAAGGUCAAACAUGAGUCAUAUAGUAGAUAUGAUCAACAUAGAGAUGUUCACCAUUGAUGACUACCCCAUCUCACGUGAUGAUCGGACAUGGUUUAGUUGAUUUGGAUCGUGUAUCACUUAGAUAACUUGAGGGAUGUUAUUUUAAGUGGGAGUUCGUUAGUAAUUUGAUUAAAUUGAACUUAAUUUAUUAUGAACUUAGUCUUAAUAGUUUUUGCAUAAUUAUGUCGUAGAUCAAUAGCUCGCGAUGUAGCUCCUUUGUUUGUUGAUACGUUCCCAGAGAAAACUAAGUUGAAAGAUGAUAGUAGCAAUAAUGCAAACUGGGUUCGUGAUCUGAGGAUUAUCCUCAUUGCUGCACAGAAGAAUUGUCUCCUUGAUGCACCGCUAGGUGACAGACCUAUUGCAGGAGCUAAUGCAGACAUUAUGAACGUUUGGCAAGCUCGAUAUGAUGACUACUUGAUAGUAGUGUGCCAUGCUUUACGGCUUAGAAUCGGGGUUCCAAAGACAUUUUGAACGCCAUGGAACAUAUGAGAUGCUCCAAGAGCUAAAAUUGGUAUUUCAGGCUUAUGCCCGUGUUGAGAGGUAUGAGACCUCUGACAAGUACUUCGCCUAAAAGAUGGAGGAGAAUAGCUCAACCAGUGAGCAUGUGCUCAGAAUGUCUGGGUACUACAAUCGCUUGAAUCAAGUGGGAGUUAAUCUUCCAGAUAAGAUAGUGAUUGACAAAGUUCUCCAGUCACUAUCACCAAUAUACUAGAGCUUCGUGAUAAACUAUAAUAUGCAAGGAAUGACUAAAACGAUUUUCGAGCUCUUCGCGAUACUGAAAUCGGCGGAGGUAGAAAUCAAGAAAGAGCAUCAAGUGAUGAUGGUUAAUAAGACCACUAGUUUCAAGAAAAAGGGCAAGGGAAAGAAAGGGAACUUCAAGAAGAAUGGAAAGCAAGUUGCCGCUCCCGUGAAGAAGCCCAAAGCGAGACCUAAGCCUGAGACUAAGUGCUUCUACUGCAAACGAAAUGGUCACUGGAAACGGAACUACCCCAAAUACUUGGCAGAUAAGAAGGAUGGCAAAGUAAACAAAGGUAUAUUUGAUAUACAUGUUAUUGAUGUGUCUCGUAGUAGCCCCUGGGUAUUUGAUACCGGUUCAGUUGCUAAGAGUAGAAACUGGAAACAGGAGUUGCAGAAUAAACUGAGACUAGUUAAGGGUGAGGUGACGAUGUGUGUUGGAAGUGUUUCCAAGAUUGAUAUGAUCACCAUCGCACACUCCCUCUACAUUCGGGAUUAGUGUUGAACCUAAAUAAAUGUUAUUUGGUGUGUGCGUUGAGCAUGAACAUGAUUAGAUCAUGUUUAUUGCAAAGUCAGAGAAUAAUUGUUGUUCUGUUUACAUGAAUAAAACCUUCAAUGGUCAUACACCCAAUGUAAAUGGUUUAUUGAAUCUCGAUCAUAGUGAUACACAUAUUCAUAAUGUUGAUGCCAACAGAUGCAAAGUUGAUAAUGAUAGUGCAACAUACUUGUGGCACUGUCGUUUAGGUCAUAUUGGUGUAAAGCGCAUGAAGAAACUCCAUGCGGAUGGACUUUUGGAAUCACUUGAUUAUGAAUCAUUUGAUACUUGCGAACCAUGCCUCAUGGGUAAGAUGACUAAAACACUGUUCUCUGGAACAAUGGAGCGAGCUAAUGACUUAUUGGAAAUAAUACAUACCGAUGUAUGCGGUCCGAUGAGUGGUGAAGCACGCGGUGGGUAUCGUUAUUUUCUCACCUUCACAGAUGAUUUGAGUAGGUAUGGGUAUAUCUACUUGAUGAAACACAAGUCUGAAACGUUUGAAAAGUUCAAAGAAUUUCAGAGUGAAGUAGAUAAUCAUCGUAACAAGAAAAUAAAGUUUCCACGAUCUGAUCGUGGAGGUGAAUAUUUGAGUUACGAGUUUAGCCUUCAUUUAAAACAAUGUGGAAUUGUUUCACAACUCACGUCACCUGGAACACCACAAAGUAAUGGUGUGUCCGAACGUAGUAACCGUACUUUAUUAGAUAUAGUGUGUUCUAUGAUGUCUCUUACCGAUUUGUCUUUAUCAUUUUAGGGUUAUGCAUUAGAGACAGCCGCGUUCAUGUUAAAUAGGGCACCGUCUAAAUCCAUUGAGGCGACAUGUAUGAACUAUGGUUUGGCAAGAAACCUAAACUGUCGUUUCUUAUGUCCAACAACUUCAUAAGCUCGAACCCAAAGCGGAGAAGUGUGUCUUCAUAGGAUACCCUAAAGAGACUAUUGGGUAUACCUUCUACCACAGAUCCGAAGGCAAGAUUUUUGUUGCUAAGAAUGGGUCCUUUCUAGAGAAGGAGCUUCUCUCGAAAGAAGUGAGUGGGAGGAAAGUAGUGCUUGAUGAGGUAGUUGUACCUUCUCUCGAAUUGGAAAGUAGCACACCAGGGAAAAACGCUUCCGUGAUGCCUACACCAACUAGAGAGGAAGCUAAUGAUGAUGAUCAUGAAACUUCAGAUCAAGUUACUACUGAACUUCGUAGGUCGACCAGAACACAUUCCGCACCAGAGUGGUAUGGUAAUCCUGUCCUGGAAGUCAUGUUAUUAGACCAUGGCGAACCUACGAACUAUGAAGAAGCUAUGAUGAGCCUAGAUUCCAAUAAAUGGUUGAGGCCAGGAAAUCUGAGAUAGGAUCCAUGUAUGAGAAAAAGUGUGGACUUUGGUGGACUUGCCCGAUGAUCGGCAAGCCAUUGAGAAUAAAUGGAUCUUCAAGAGGAAGACGGACACUGAUGGUAAUAUCACUGUCUAUAAAGCUCGACUUGUCGCAAAAGGUUUUCGACAAGUUCAAGGGGUUGACUACGAUGAGACCUUCUCACCCGUAGCAAUGCUUAAGUCUGUCCAAAUCAUGUUACCAAUUGCUGUCGUGGUUCUAAGUCUGACAGUAGAAUGGGGGGUAGGAAUGUAGAGGCAAGAUCUUAGCUAUGGGGAAGUUGUACGCAAGAGUUUUACGAGUUCAGGCCCUUCUCGGAGGAAGUAACAGCCCUACGUCUCGGAGCCCGGAGGCGGUCGACUGGAUUAUAUGCGUGUGUGUGUGUGUUACAGGGGAUGUGAACCCUUGUCUCAAAGGAGGGGGGUGGCUUAUAUAGAGUGUGCCAGGACCCCAGCUCCCCUCCGUUACACAGGAUUCAAUGUACAUAAAGUGAGAGCGUUACAGGUAACGUCAAUAAUAAAGUGCUAUAAAUGAUCAUUAAGUCUAUGAGUAAACGUCCGACCGUUGCUGCGCAGAGUGGCUUUAGGUCUUCUGCACGUCGAGUGGUUGAGUGGUCGAGUGACCUAAAUAAGGAGAGAUCUCCGAGUGAAUGGUAGGUCGAGUGGAUUGCACUCGACACCUUUGUUGAGCCCUCUCUAUUUGCUCUUGAACUUCUUUGCUUCUAGGACAAGGACCUUAGGUAGGAUGUAUAGGUCAGGCCUAUCGCCCUACCCUAGGUCUAUGUCCUCAUCAUUAGCCCCCGAAUGGAUUGAGGUCUGAGUGAAAAGAAGGUUGAACUUGAUCUUGCUUUGACUCUUGCCUUUCUCAAGAACUCGUUUCUAAACGGAGGCUAGUGUUGGUACUUCGGCUUCGUUUCAGUCGCCUUGAUCGAUUCAGGAAUUGCCGAUUGGUUUUUAUAAUGUCACCCGCCGAGUGUUGUCUUUGACGCUAAAUCUUUGGCGUGAUCGGUUGCAGAGGAUCCCGGAUUUCGCGGGAUUCGAAAUUUCGGUGAAAACGCGCCAGGCGGAGCGUGCCGUGGUAAGCGGAGUGGAUAAAUAGGACAUUUCAAUUUCUGCGCCACCUUUUUUGCCACGUAUCCCGUGUGCGACUGUUGCGGAAUUUGACAGGAUCGCCCGGACCCACGCGUCAGCCACUCGGAAGUGGGCCUUUAAAAGCGGCGAGGCCGAGGCGUCCGCACUGUGCGUGCCCAUUCUCCUUCUUCUUCCUCUCGCUCUUUCACCCCAUCCGACUUCUCCACUCUUGACGCCUCAGCUCCGCCGCCAUGGGGAAGGAGAAAACGGCGGCGCUGGAGCGCGCGAAGAAGGCGACGGGGGCGGCGAAAGGCAAGAAGACGAAUCGGGGAUCUUCAUCUCGCUCGGGGCUGCCGCGGGGUUGGAUCCAGGGAGAUUGGAUCCGUUCCUCGCUUCAGCAGGAGGACUUGGAUGAUAUGGCCAAGUCAGGGUUGAUCAUCCAUGGGUCCGCGCGGCUGCCGGAGGGGGAAACGGAGCCACAGCCGCAACCGGGUGAGUGUGUUCUGCUUGCCACCCAUGUCGACCGCGGUUUCUCGCUUCCUCCACACCCCUUCUUUCGAGGUUUCUUGAAUUUCUUCGGGGCUCAACUCCACCAUUUCACUCCCAACACCAUCACAUACCUUGCCGCAUUCGUGUCCAUGUGCGAGAAUUUUCUGGGGUGUCGACCGCACUGGGGUCUCUUCAAGCACAUUUUCACCAUCCGCUCCCAAACAGUGAAGAAAGCGAACUCGAACGACGAGAAAACGCAUGUUAUCCAGAUGUGUGGGGGUCUGGGUAUUCAGAAGAGGAAGAGGAGUUCCUUCCCUUCGAUGACUCUUCCUGAGUCGGUCAGGGGCUGGCAGUCGACCUCGUUCUAUUGCCAGGAUAUUGCGACUCCAGGCCAGUCGACUGGACUUCCCCCUUUCUCUCUUGAUCGUGUUCAAACUCCAUCUUCGUUGAAAGUAACCGCCGCGGAGAAGCCGGAGAUGGGCAUGUUGGUCGAGAGAGUACUUCAACUGAUCAACCAAGGUGUCACCGGCAUGGAUCUGCUGGAGGUGUUCCUCAGUUGACACAUUCAACCACUCCAAGCUCGUGACCACUCCAUGUGGAUGUACUCCAGGGCUGGUGAUACCGCUCGGGUUCAUCCGGAGGAGGUGGAGGCCAAAAUAGUGGCCGAGUGGUUGAGGGGCAUCACCGGGAACAAGGACAACCCUAGGGGUGCCAGGAGGGUCAAACCUUUCAGCGAAAGCAACCAGCCAGACAAGGUUUGGCCACUACACUUGAUUGAAUUUGGAUGUGUUUUCUGACUGUUUGUUGAUUCGACUAAUUUCCACUCGGCUCCUUGUUUUGUAGAUUUAUACAGAGAUGUACUCAAUGCCCAAUGGCGAGCAAGCUCUGGAGCAGGACCAUGAAGGCGAGGACAGCGCGGAGGAGAGCGGCGAGUGGGAGUCACCAGCUGACGGUGAUGAGGAUGAGAGCGAUGAGUCGGACGACGAGGAGGUAGCCGACUCACCACCUCGUUCCAAACAUCGAUCCAAGCAGCACCAUGAUCCCGCAGGCAGGCGCAGCAAGGCUGUGGCCUCGAACGCUCCAUCUCAAAAGCGUGCUCGGUCUUCGACUCCAGAAUUGGCUGAGAAGGUCACCAAGCAGCCCAAGAUCAAUCCUUCGAAGGCUCGGAAGACCCUGCCUAAAAUCAAGAUGGGCGUUCCUGUUGCUUCUGGGUAAAUGUUCUCCCUGUAUUUUCUUGUUCUGACCGAUUCUCUCGUACUGACCGAGUGGAUGAUGAACCUUUACAGCCCGGCCUCGGCUGCGACUGAUAUGGAUAUCGACAAGACUCCAGUCGACGAGGAAACCGCCGAUGCAGCUACCUCCAAAGCCAGUAAGUGUGCCCGACUCAAAUUUAUUUGGACGACUGGAUUGUUUGUCAGCUAUCUCUUUGACUUUCUCUGUCUGUUGCAGCACCACGAGACAUUGUUGUGCUCCCGGACGAUGAAGAAGAAGUACCGCUGAGGGGAAGGAGGAGGAGGGACGCGGAACUGAGCGGGAAGACGCCUGAGGUCCAGGUUCCUCAGUCGACUGAGAUGCCUGAGACGGCAGUCGAGCGAUCGACAGAUCCAGCACGUACCAACGUCACUUUCGCUAUCCCGCUGUCGACUGAUUGCCCAUCAGGAUCAGCUGCUCAGACUUCUGCUGCGCCAAUACCGACUGCUCUGCCAUCAUCGCUUUUCACUGCGUAUCAGACUCCGGACGACCCACCAGCUACCGCCAAAGAAGCUCUUCUUCAGUUGAACCUUGUGAUGGGGCAAAUGAAAGUGGUGCAUGAGGCUAGUCAGGUGGCAUUCAACGCCGGAGCAGCUCUGCAGACCAAUGUCCAGGUUAGUUGAUUCCUGAUUGAUCAUACUUCUCAUCCGAUCACCCAUUGGGUGUGACUGUUAUGAAGUUGUACGAGGCAAUUUGAGUCGUCUUGAAUUGAAUAUUUGAAUUAGUGGGGGCACUCUUAGUGCACCCACUGGGUGUAGUCCCCGAGACCAUAGUUGACUGCGAGCAGUCGACUGUGGUCUGAGAAUCUAAAUUUUGUCACUCGGUCUGGACGGACCAGGUCGAAUGAAACCAGAACCAGUGGGGGCAUGCUAAGUGCACCCACUAGGUGUAGUCCCCGAGACCAUGGUUGACUGCGGGCAGUCGACUAUGGUCUGAGAACUUCUUUUUUUUUACUCUCGCGCUGGGCAGGCCAUGUCGAGUGUUUAUUCAAACCAGUGGGGGCACACUAAGUGCACCCACUGGGUGUAGUCCCCGAGACUGCCGUUGAAUGUUUGAUUCAGUGGUAGUCUUAGAGUAGCUAUCAUUGUGAUGUUUUUCUUUUUUUUAUCUCAGUCAACUGAUAUGGCUUAUACUGCAGAAAUCUUGUGAUCUUGGGGCUCAGUUUUCUGCAAUGAACAAACAGCAAAUCAGCCUCAACCUUGAUCUGGAAUUGGCCAAGAAGAAUCUCAAGACUGCUCGUGAUGAAGUAGCUGCCAUGGGAGGUAACCAAUCGUCAACUGUCUAUCUCACUGCUGGCACUUUUCCUUUCCAUUUUUUGAACCGAGUGACUCCACUCGAGCAGAUGUAUGUAGUGAAAACCGUCAACUCCAAGCCCGUCUGAAGAAUGUUAUUUAUUUAGAGAAAAUGAAGCAGGCUUUGGAGAAGAAGGAUCAGGAUCUUGCUGCUGCACAGAAGGAAGCGCGAGAGAAGACGGCGCUUGCUGACAAGAAGCUUGCUUCAGUCGGCAAGUUAGAAGAAGUGAACUCCAAACUGAAGGCUGCUGUUUCUGACGCCAAUCGGGAGGUCGAGGGACUGAAGAAAGACAAGGACAAGCUGACAAACGAGCUUGGGAGCCUCAAGGCCAGGAAGGGUGAGUUGGAGUCUUAUCUAGGCCAGCUUGCUGCAAAGCUGGUCCUGAAACUUGAAGGUACUAAUGAUUGACUGACUUAUUGCGGUCGACUGUCAAUCCCGAUCAUGUCGUCGACUCACCGUUUACUCAACUGUGCAGAGCUUUGCCAAGAUUUUGAAGCGGAAACUGGGCGGGUCGAGACAGGUCUCGACCCCAUAAAUUGCCCAGUCAAAGAUGACGUCGCAAUGAAUGUGCUGCGAUUGGAAUCUCGCAUGGACAGCGCGGUUGCUUAUCUUGCCCGCCUGAAGACGGCGAUGACUCGGGUUGAUGCUGAACUCUGGCCCCAGGCGGAACUAUCUCAAGACCUCGAGUCUCUGAUGGCUCGACUGAACCAAAUACCUGACCGAGUGCAAGAAUGGAAAAAGUCGUCUGCUCGCUGCGGUGCUGAUGUCGCCUUGUCUCUGGUCCGAGUGCACUGCAAGGAUGUCAAAGAAGACAAGCUGGCGGAGCUCAAGGUUGCUAACACAAAAAGGCACACUUUCCAGUCCUUUAUGGACACUUUCCUUGACGCUGCCACUCGCAUCGCAGACAGCAUAGACCUUGACAGUUUCUGCGACCCAGCCAGUCCUUCUCCCGAUGAGUGACCAAAAAACAUUAUGCUCCACCUUUAUUUGCCUCGGAAUGCUGAGUGAUUGUGCAAUCUUUAAAAUUCUUCGGGCUUGAUGCUCGAGUACUUUUGAUAUGCGGUCUGGAACCUUAGGAUUUAUCUGAACUUUGUUUACCUUGAAAUAUGCUUGCGUUUAUCUUCGAGUGGGUUUUGUUCUUCACUCGGAAUAAUCUUUGAACUUGAGAUGCAGCUCUGAGGAGGAGAUUCCAGUCGACCUGCACCUCAUCGUCCUUAUGGAUGAGGAUGGAGCGUAUGUUGUACUUGUGGUGUAGCUCUAAGGAGAAGGUUGCAGUCGACCUCGUCGUCCUUGCGGAUGAGGAUGGAGCGUACGUUGUAUUUGUGGCGUAGCUCCGAGGAGAAGGUUGCAGUCGACCUGCACCUCGUCGUCCUUGCGGAUGAGGAUGGAGCGUACGUUGUAUUUGUGGCGUAGCUCCGAGGAGAAGGCUGCAGUCGACCUGCACCUCGUCGUCCUUGCGGAUAAAGAUGUGUUUCAAACUUAGGCGAGUACUGGACUGCAGCUAAGCCCCCGAGUGGGAGGGUUGCUCACCACUCGGUGGGAUUUUUCACACUUAGGCGAGUACUGGACUGCAGCUAAGCCCCCGAGUGGGAGGGUUGCUCAUUACUUGGUAGGAUUUUUUCAAACUUAGGCGAGUACUGGAAUGCAGCUAAGCCCCCGAGUGGGAGGGUUGCUCACCACUCGGUAGGAUUUUUCACACUUAGGCGAGUACUGGACUGCAGCUAAGCCCCCGAGUGGGAGGCUUGCUCACCACUCGGUAGAAUUUUCUACACUUAGGCGAGUACUGGCACUACAAAAAAAAAAAGACACAUCCGUGACAUUUUGGGCCGAACGAAAUUUUUUUCUGUCAUACAUAUGACACUUCUAUGACGAUAAUUGUGACAAAACCCGGUAUCAUCAUAGAUGUGGUGGGCUCCUACUUCUAUGACAAAAAAUCAUGACAGAAAAUGGGCUUUUCGGGCUUUUCGUCCUGGGCGGGCCGGAGACGCAGCUGCAUGACAUUCUUUGGGCCGUCCAUAACGGAAAAAACCGUGGUAGAAGCGAGGGCGAGGAAAAUUUCGGGGAGUUCCCGGUUACGGUGGGAGGUCGGGGGCCGAGCGAUGUGUGUUUCUCUUGUACACGUACGCGCGUGUGUGCGAGCCGUUGGCUCUAACUGAACCCGAGUGAGGCGUUGGGCUCUAACUGAACUCGAGCGAUUGCACUGCAGGCUACGCGUUACUGAACCCGAGCGAUCGAUCGAUGGCUGUUAACUGAACCCGAUCGAGCGAUUCCUUCACUACUGCUGCUAACUGAAGCCGAUCGAUUGGAUGAACAGUGAGCGUUGCGGGGGGGGUUGGAUGAACAGUGAGCGGUGGCGUUGCCUCUAGAUGAACAGGACCCCGUGGUGUGGAGGGCUAGAUGAACAGUAGACGGUGGAGGGGUGCCCGUGGAGGGGUGGUUAAACAGGACCCCGUGGUGUGGAGGGCUGGAUGAACAGUAGACGGUGGAGGGGUGCCCAUGGAGGGGUGGUUGAACAGUAGCCGGUGGAGUAGCGCGCGGUGGAGGCUGGAUGAACAGGAGCCCGUGGAGGCUGGAGGAGGUCGACGGUGGAGAUGAACAGUAUCCCGUGGAGUCCCGUUUUGCGGUACGCCACACCCCUCCCGAUGAACAGGACCCNNNNNNNNNNNNNNNNNNNNNNNNNNNNNNNNNNNNNNNNNNNNNNNNNNNNNNNNNNNNNNNNNNNNNNNNNNNNNNNNNNNNNNNNNNNNNNNNNNNNNNNNNNNNNNNNNNNNNNNNNNNNNNNNNNNNNNNNNNNNNNNNNNNNNNNNNNNNNNNNNNNNNNNNNNNNNNNNNNNNNNNNNNNNNNNNNNNNNNNNNNNNNNNNNNNNNNNNNNNNNNNNNNNNNNNNNNNNNNNNNNNNNNNNNNNNNNNNNNNNNNNNNNNNNNNNNNNNNNNNNNNNNNNNNNNNNNNNNNNNGUUUUGCGGUACGCCACACCCCUCCCGAUCAACAGGACCCCCGUUUCGACCGUAGGAGGUCUGUUUCCUCCGUUUUGCGGUACGCCACACCCCUCCCGAUCAACAGGACCCCGUUCCGAACGUAGGAGGUCCGUUUCCUCCGCUGUGCGGUACACCAGGCCUCGUUUCCAUCGCCUGUUCCGUCCAAGCCCUCCCGAUGAACACGACCACGCAUUCCGUUCUGACCCAGCCGAUUGGCUCCCACGCGUUCCGUUGCCUCCCGAUGAACACGACGCAUUCCGUUGCCUCCCCAUGAACACGACGCAUUCCGUUGCCUUCCCAUGAACACGACGACGACGCUGUUUCUCCGUUCCGACCCAGCCAUGUACACGAGCCCUAGCUGUACGUAUGCGCGAGUAGGCGUUCAAGACCCCACCCAUAUAUACACAUACGUGGCCGUAUUUUCUUUCUUGCACCCUGGCCCCUGUACGUACGUGUACAUGCUACGUGCGCGCCUCUACUACGACACGUACGCGCCUCUACUACCACACGUGCGCGCCUCUACAUCCACCAGUAUAUAUGUACGUACACGUUCGCGACCAGAAUGACAACGCUACGUACGCUUCGACCAGGUGGGUCCUGACUGUCAGGCACUUCCUUGCCUGCGAAGAUGUAGCUGGUGGGUCCCAGCAGUCAGGGGGGCGAAUCAUUUUUUUUUGCCUGGGCGCACUUCCUUGCGUGCGAAGAUGUAGCUGGUGGGUCCCAGCAGUCAGGGGCAAACGUUUUUUCGCGAAAUACGGUGGCCCGUCCGGUGGGUCCCCGCUGUCAGGUGGAGGAAUAAUUAUUUUGCACGUAAUAAGGAGGCACUUCCUUGCUGCGGCCGUGGACCCAGCUGUCAGCCUCUCCACCUACAGUCCACGUCCGAUGGAAGCCGUUCCUUGACCACGUUGACCACGCCGCGCCGAGAGCACCAACGCGAUGGACGACGGCGAGGCCUAGGAAGGGGACGACGCGGAGCCGAGGAAGACGCGGCAGUGGAUGCCCACGCGUAGAGGAGUACGAGGGUUCACUGGUUCGCUGCGGUGUGAGGCUACCGUUGCCGCAGAAUAACAGGGGGUGUGGGUGAGUAGAGGGAUGGCCUGGCCAGUGAUGGGAGUAGUAGGGGGCGGUGAGGCCUCCGCCGCAUCGCAGCCGUCCACGGGAGGCUGGAGCACGAGGCACGACCGGCGCUGGUUUGGGCGGCUGGAGCAAGAAGAGCAGAGGCUGAAGAAGCACUACGGCCGUUGGAUGGACACCGUACGGUCACUGGAGCUAGAAUCGUGCAUAUUGACUAAGUUGACAAAGCCCUCCGUCCCCGUCAACUUAGUAGGCCCACAAGUCAGCCUGCCACUAUACUGGGUCCCAGCUAACAGGGGAGUAUUCAUUUUUUUUGUGCGUAAUAAGGAGGCACUUCCUUGUGUGCGAAGAUAUAGCUGGUGGGUCCGAGCUGUCAGCGGCGGUAACUUUUUUUCGCGAAAUACAGAGGCCCUUUCGGUGGGUCCCUGAUGUCAGGUGGAGGAAUCAUUAUUUUGCACGUAAUAAGGAGGCAUUUCCUUGCGUGCGGCCGUGGACCCAGCUGUCGGCCUCUCCACAUACAGUCCACUUCAGAUGCAUGUCGGUCGUUGACCAUGUUGACCAGGCCGCGCCGAGAGCACCAGGGCGGUGGACGACGGCGAGGCCUAGGAAGGGAAUGACACGGAGGCAGGGAAGACUCGGCAGUUGUUUCCCAUGCGGAGGGGAGUACGACUGUACGAGGGUUUACUGGUUCGUCUGCCGUCGCCGGAGAAUAACAGCAGGUGUGGGUGAGUAGAGGGAUGGCUAGGCCAGCGAUGGGAGUACGGUGGGGCGGUGAGGCCUGCGUGGCAGCAGAGCCGACCGCGGGGAGGAGGGAGCAGGCAGUCCCGCCGGCGCUUGUUUGAGCGGCUGGAGGAGGAAGAGCAGAGAUUGAAGAAGCACGACGGCCGUUGGAUGGACAUCCAACAGUCAGUGCUUGUGCGUCAACCUUUUUUUAGGAAAGCCUCAAAUCUGUGGAAAACAGCAUAUAGCCCAUCUGCCAUUAUUUCUAAUAAUUUACAGCCCAUUUGCUAAUUAUUAAGGUUUUUUAUGGAGCCCAUAUUCUUUUUGUUAGCAUUACAGCCCAUAUUGUGGCCACGGUUAAAAAAUUAUACGAAAUUUUGCAUAUUUCGGUGCGGUCCGAACUGUUUUUAAUCCCGAAAUUUUGACUCACAUUCAAACUGAUUUUAAAAAUAAAUGUAUAUCAAUAUAAAAUCCAACAAAUUCUCCACGCAUAAAAAUUAAUGUAAUUUAAAAUCUUGAAAUGAAAAAAAAGAUAUUUGAAACUAAUUGCCGGUUUGAUGUGUUUAAAAAAUGUACAGCCCAUUUCUCAUUACUGAUGGGCCAUUUUCUCGGCCAGCCGAAUGAAAGCUCUCCUCGUCUUGAAAGAUUUGCAGCCCAACAGGCCUGACAAAGCGACUUACUUGGCAAAUCACAAAAAUACUGGGCUGUGGCCGUGGACCCAGCUGUCAGCCUCUCCACGUAUAGUACUCUUCCGAUGGAAUGUCAUUGACCACGUUGACCAUGCCGUGCCGAGAGCACCAAGGCGGUGGACGACGGCGAAACCUAGGAAGGGGACGACGCGGAGCCGGGGAAGACGCGGCAGUGGAUGCCCACGUGGAGAGGAGUACGAGGGUUCACUGGUUCGGCUGCGGUGUGAGGCUGCCGUCGCCGCAGGGCCUGGCUAGCGGUGGGAGUAGUAGGGGCGAUGAGGCCUCAACGGUAGCACAGCCGGCCACUGGAGGCAGGAGCAGGCGGUCUCCCUGGCGCUGGUUUGGGCGGCUGGUGCAAGAAGAGCAGCGAUUGAAGAAGCAGCAGGACCGCUCGAUUCAAAUCCAACGGUUACUGCUGCUAGAAUCGUUUGUUGACUAAGUUGACAAGCCCUGCGUACGCGUCAACUUAGUAGGCCCACAGGUCAGCCUCCCAACCGGUGCGCCCCAGAUGUCAGUGGGAGGAAUCAUUUUUUUCGCGUAAUAAGGAGGCAGUUGAUUGCGUGCGGCCAGGCCAGCGGAGGGAGUAGGGUGGGCCGGGGAAGCCUGCGCGGCAUCACAGCGGGCCACAAGAGGAGGGAGCAGGCAGUCCCGCCGGCGCUAGUUUAGGCGGCUGGAGCAGAAAGAUCAGAGAUUGAAGAAGCACGUCAGCCAUUGGAUGGACAUCCAACAGUCACUGCUGCUAGAAUCGUGUGUUCACUGACAAAGCCUUGCGUAAACAAGCCAGCCUCGAAAUCUGUGGCGUGUAUAGCCCAUUUGCUAUUAUUUUUAUAAUGUUUACUCAUUUUCUAAUUCAUAUGGAAUUUAUUGCAGCCCGUUUUCCAUUUUUAGAAUUGCUGGUCAUUUUCUGGUCAGUACCAGGGUCAAAAAAUUAACUAAAUAUGUGGGAAAUUUUGAAAAUUCGCAAAAUUUUGCUGGGGAACGAAAUAUUCUUAAUCCAAAAAUUAAUAGCCAUACUAAAAGAAAUUUAAAAAUAAAUUAGUACCAUGUCAUGUUAAAUCCAAUGAAAUACGUAUAAGAUAUCAGUGAAGAACAAAAACAAAAAAAGAAACUUAUAUCCCAUUUGCUAUAAUUUUUUUGGAAUUUUCAACCCCUUUUGAUAUUACUUUUAACAGACAUUGACCAUACUCUUAAGCCAGGCCGGAAUGCAUCCCUCCUCGUCUUAAAAGAUUUGCAGCCCAGUAAUUCGGAGAAAACAAAUAGGCCUAGCUUGGGUAUUCUUCAAAAAGAAAUACUGGGCUACCUAUUUUCCCAAAGAACGGGUGCAUGAGCAUUUAGCUUUAUUUAUUUAUUUAUUUACUUAUUUACGUUUAGGGGACCAUGAGCAUGUACCUAGGCCGGAUUCAUGUGAGAGCCUCCCUUCCAGUUAAUUAUGGGCUUCUCUAUUGGGCCUUCAUCAGUGGGCUGCAUGUUAUCAACAAGUGGAAAAUGUGUUCCGUACGAAAAAUAGUAUGCGCUACGUACGGUACGGGGCACUAAAGGAUCGAACCGUGCAACGACUUCAAAAACAUUGUGUUUGUCAUUCUAACAACACAUUUAUUCAACCAACAGACGAAAUAUACUACUGAUUGUACAUUGAAAACAGCAGCAGCAACCAGGGCUGGGGGUGCAACAGAAGCAGUAAGCAGGCCAGAAGAGUGAAGACGCAACUCUCUCUUCCAUCAUUACAAAAGGGCUACCAAAAAAGAACAAGUGUAUGCAUCGAACUAAAUAAAGAUCCUACUACACCAAGUGUACGCAUCUAACUAACUGGCUCAGUUAGACGUUACUAUUUAUUAAGCUGUGGAGAUUGGCUGACGGCUUGAACCAGAUGGGUGCCUGAUGGGGGAAACUCCAGCCAGCAGGUCGAAGUCUGAUACUUGCGACCCUCUCUCCUACUUUGGGCUGUAGAGCGUGGCGGCACAUAUCAGGGUAUGGUGCAUGCGAAGACGCAUGGUACGCUGUGUACACACAGUUUUUCCUGAUGGACGAAACCACGCUGCCAUCAUGAUCCUUGUCGUCGGUUAUCUCCUGGUUAAUCGGAUAAUUCAGUCCGACAAACAGUGAGCGUGUACCAAGGCUACUUACCAGCCUCCAGUCAAAAAUUCCUGAAGGCCCAGAGAAGCUGGGAUCCUGCUCAAAGACCUUGCAGUGACUGUGAUUGUAUUCCACGAAACAACACGUCCGGUACGUGCGAACGAUCAUCAAUCUUUCGUCGUCGUCUGAUCGAGCCAGGAACCACCUGCAACUGCCAUGUCGCUUUUCUUUGAAAGGUUCUAGGAUUACGAAGGGUAGGGACACCAGGCGGCCUACAACAUCAUAUCAAGUUGGAGUCAAAUAAAAAAGGGCUCUUGAUUUAGUCAAUCUUAAGAACAGCAUGUUAUGAGCAUGAAUAUUUUUUCAGCAAAUGUUGACAGUAAUAUAAGCAAGCCAUCAUGAUAUCAUAGGAAAGUAGCAUACUGCUGUAACAGCCGUUUGUAGCGAUGACUGGAGUAGGCCAGCAUUACGUCCAGCCAUAGAAGGAGCCGACAGCGUAAAUGAAGCCCUUGUGUUCAAUGGCAUCAGAGAACCAUGGAGGAUGUAUGAUCCUGCGAUGGACGUGCAGAUUUAUCCACUUACCGCAGUGACCUGUUAGAUAGGCGAGACCGCGGUUAAUACUUAAAUAGUAUAGCCAACUGUUGACUAUAAGAAAGUGCCAUGUCAUCUGUAGCCAACAUGUAUAACAAUGGAUAGUCAAAAACUAAUUCUUGAAGAUCAUUUCUUGCAAAGCACAAUAAGAGUUAUUUCUUCACAAGUUUUGGAUGCAGGUUGAACAGUUGAACGCUUUUGUUUGCAAAAGAUACUUUUUAAUCUAUUUCACCCGGAUGUUUGUGAGCUCUAGAGAUGAAAUAAUAUCCGAACAAACCUAUCGAUACCCGUUACACAUGAGAUGACCCCCACAUCCUUUGUCAAAAUAAACAACUCCCCGAUCGAUGCAUUUCACUCUUCCGUGCAACGCACGGGCACCUUACUAUAGAUUAGUACGACCAAAAAUUGAACUAACAUUAUAUAUAGUAUGAUAAAUGAUGAUGCAUGUCACCUAAAAUUAUAUCAUUGAAAACUAUGUUCAAAUACGAAUCCAACGAUAUUGUUUUUGUUGACAUGCACUAACAUUUUGUUGGUUAAAUCUUCAGUCAAAUUCAAUGGGGGAUAAACCACGACCGAUGUAGUACUAGUGUAGAGGGCGGCGCUGCACGGGAGUCUCGCCCCGCUCGUGGCGCGGCAGUAAAGCCGUCAUAUCACAAAACCCAACAACUCCCAGUAAUAAGUGGUCUGGUAAAAUAAACGGACAAGCAACCAUCACAUCCCUCCGUCUUUUUUGCAUUUCAUCUCUCUGCAUUUACUUUCUCCGGUUCAUCUCGCACACUCGAUCCCUAGCUACUACUCCUAGUAUCCCUAGCUACUACUCCUAGGGCCAGUUCUUUUGGCGGCUUCCCCAACUUUUCCCAUAAGACUAGUCAUAGUGGAGAGUAACAUUAAGGCGCCUCACUCAUUUAUUUGGGAUUCUAAACUACUACUAGUAGUACCUCCGUCCUGGUUUAUUCCUCACCAUUGUAAUUUGUGCUAAAUUUUGACCAAAGAUUUAACUGAUAAAAUAUUAGUGCAUGUGACAUGCACUAACAUUUCAUUAGUUAAAUUUAUGAUCAAAAUUUGACACAGAUUACAAUGGGGACCAAUAAACCAGGACGAAGGUAGUAGUUAGAGCAUGGUUAAUAGUAUAGCCAGCUGUUGGCUAUAAGCCAGUGCCAUGUCAUCUACAGCCCAUCUUAUAGCCAACAUGUAUAAUAGUACAUCAAAAGAGUGUACUAGUUUUUUAUUAUGUGGCCCACCUUUCAUUCUCACAAAGUGCUUAGGAGCACGUGCUAGAGCUGGCUCUUCACGAAGAUCCCGCUUACCUUCUCUCUCCUCUUCUCUUUCCUCCAACUAAGCAGAGAUAUACUAGUUUAUUCCUUAUAGCCCGCUGACUCAGCUCUAUUAUACUUGCUCUUAUGGGAUUACUAAUCUAGAAGCCUAAAAGAACUGGCCCCUGGUACUCCUACUAGUAUUAGUACUCAAGUUGGAAUUCCAAUUGCACGACACAACUUGUUAGGCAAAAAAUUCGAUACAGGGUGUAGGAAGCGGUUUGGGAAUUUGCAUGCCUUUCCAACCAGUGAGAUACUCCGUACAAAGUAUGACAAAGAAAUAACCACAGAGAAGGAAGCUAGAAGUAAACAAUCAAACGAGCAUUUUUGCAUUUGUUUUGCAUUGAAUCGUUUCACAAGCUUGACUAGUGAUGUUUUUCUACUUUUACAAAAACCGCAUCGUAAUGUUAAAACAUGCAUUUGCACGUACAUAAGUAAUAGUAGUACUCCCUCCAUCUAGGUGUAUAAGUCUUCCCUCCUUCUUAGUCACGGUGCACAACCAAAGAUGACUUAUUGACCUGGACGGAGGGAGUAGCACAGUCUGCAAGCAUAUAUCGAGAGAGACGUGUAGUGCGAUAGUAUAUAGUAAAGUUUGUGCUAUAUGCACGUACUUGCAAAAUGCGUACGAAUACACAAGGUUUCCAAACUUUCCCUUUUACAUACUUAAUUAAGGACGCUAAAAAUUCCUGAACGUUCGGGAUUUAUCAUUUGCGUCCCAAAACUAAUGAGAUCGCCCUACGAAACAAAAAUUAUACUCCUCCUAAAAGCCACGGCGCUCGCAGGAGCGCUUGCGGCACACCACGAGUGCCCUGGUGCGCGGCCGUUUCCCAGCGCGCCGACACAACGCCUCUUCCUCAGCCUCGCAUUUCGCGAGGUGCUGAUUGGCGGCUUGCCGGCGGGCGAGCGCGAUCUCACCGGUGUGGUGAUCCGGCGCCAACAGGUACUCCUCCUCGCUGGAAGCCUGCACCCGGUCCACCUACCGCCAAGCGUAGAUGAGGCGCUUGGGCCCGACUGCACUCAGGGUGUCGGCACGGGCGUCCUCCGCCACCCUCACGGCCCUCGCACAAGCCUUCUGCCAAAGAGCCAAUUGCCUGACUCUCUCGGACGCGACAUAGGCCUCCCAGGCAGCUUGUUCCGCGGUGCGCUUCUCUUCCUCGGCCUUCUUCUCCGCCUCUAUUUUGACGCGCUCUGCUGGAGGCAAAGCCUCCCACAAGGCGACAUCCAUUUCUUUCCAAAGCUCCUCAAGGCUGGGGGGCUCGGCGGGCGGUGCGGCGUUCUCCUCGUAGCGGGGAGCCGACGCGUCCUCCGGCGCGCGUGCUGGCGAGAUUGGGAACGCCGACGCGUCCACCUCGACGCGUCGCGGCGAGGAGCGGAACGCCGACAUGUCCUCCUCGACUAGUGGCGGCGAGGAACGGAACGGCGACGCGUCGUGUAGCGGCGGGGAGCGGAACACCGACGCGUCCUCCUCGACUAGUGGCGGCGAGGAACGGAACGGCGACGCGUGACCGUCCGCGUGGUGCAGCGAGGGGCUCCUAGGGCUUGGGAGGGGCGAUGCCAUGGUGGUCGAUGUGAGAGGGAGGGGGAGGAGAUAGCGAUGAACGUGAACGUGAGGGGGAGGAGAUAGCGAUGUCGUGGGAGGCGCAGUAUUUAUAGCGAGCAAUGGCACACCUACAUAAGAUAUGGACUGAGCUGCACUGACUUAACUGCAGGUCCAGUUGCGUCACUGACAUGUGGGCCAGACCCCUGUUGGGCCCAUAUGUCAGUGACUCAAUGCACCUGCAGUUAACUAACAGCUACGUGGGCAUAUUUGUCGGUCUUAGGGCUUUGCAUUGCCGGUCUCUACAUAGGUAUUUCUCUUCAUAAUCCUAUAAUUUUAGAGACUGAUUGCGCUUUUGUGGUAGCGUCUCUUGCAUCGGGGGACUAUGACAGGUCUGCUAUGCGUGACCUGAAGAUGAAAGCGUUGAGCAUCUCGAAGUUUAUCAACAAUCUUCAAUUGUCAAAGAUUAGCCGUUCGGCCAAUAAGGUGGCACACUUAAUCGCUAAGUAUAGCUUUGAGAAUAGAUUAGAUGGUAUUCUUGUAAAUAACGUACCGCCCUGUGUGGUGAAUAUUGUAUCGAAUGAGUGUACUGGUGUGGCUGGUGAAUUAAUAUAAGGUGGUUUUAAAAAAGUAUAAAUUUGGUCAAACACUUUGCAAAUGGUUGACGGGAGUAAAAAGGACCAGAGGGACUAUCAUGCAUGCGGAGUAGGCAAAAAAAUUGCUUGUCUAAAAAAAGGCAAAAAAUUUGCUCAUUUAUAGCCGGUCGAAGUCUCAAAGGGCGCGACCGCACGAGGGAGGCGAAGGUCGUGGGAGGCACGACGUUUGACGGAAUUAAGUGAAGUUACAUCCACGCGCCGGCAUGGCGUGAGAACAGGCAGAAGCUAUACCGUCAGGCCUACGAUAUGGGUCUAGUAGACAUGACAUCUAGUGGGUCCCGCAUAGUUCUCGAGAACUCUUUGGGGGCUUGCAGCCGUUUAUCCACCGGGCAAGCCAGCAACCCCAUGCCGUUCGCACGCCCUACUCGUCCCCGUCUUCUACCUUACAACAGUUCGCUCCUAGUCGUCCUGUCCUUUCACAUUAGUUCGCUCCCAGUUUUUUUUUGCGGGGUACAACAGUUCAACUUCUCCUAACCCUCCUCCAAAAUCCAUGGCCUCCCAAAUCUCCAUGGUCGCCGCUGAGUACCAGGUUAGAGCCAUCACCGGCGAUUAGUUCAUCAUCAUCUACACACGUGGAUCCGAGACGGUGAAAGCAUGGCUUGCUCGCUUCCUACGCAUGUUCAACAGUUCAACGGAUAAGUGGGUCACUGGGCUAGAUGUUGAGUACACCACAGUCCUAGGACAAGAGAAGGAUCUAAAGGACGAAGAGAGGAAGAAGCCCGCCGUGAUCCAGGUUUGCGUACAUAACGUUUGCUUGGUCUACCACAUAUGCCAUGCCGACGUUGAGUGCCAGGAUUUUAAGAACUUCCUCAAGGAGAAAAGAGUGAAAUUCAUUACUGUAGGCUUUAAGAACGACAGGGAUGUCCUGCGUCGGAUAGGCUCGCGGAAGGACGUGUUGCCGGCACACGCGCGGAUUCAAUGAAGGCAGGCGGGGCAGUCUUAAGCUGGUUGCACGCGGCGAGGAGGCGUGCUCAGCCGGGCCUGCAGUGAGUGCGGCCCUCUUGGCCGGCGCGCCGGUUCAAUGCCUGCGCUAUGAGAGGUCACGUCCGUGUCAGAGCAAUCACUCCCUCCAGUCCUUUUUUGUUUGGGUAUAACAAAAUCUCGUUUUCCAUUCACAUUUUACAAGUAAAAUUUGUGGACAAACUUUGACCCAAAGUACGAUGGGGACUAGUAAACCAGAAUGGAGGUCGUAGUUUUUUUAAUCAAAGAAGGGUUUCCCCUUCCGAUUUUCAUUACUGAAAACCAGCAUCUAAAUCUAAACCAUAGUAUUUGCCCUAGAACUACUAGGUUCAACAUCUUGCAACAUAAACCCAUACAACCUCCAUCGCAAAAAAACCAUACAACCAUACGCCAAGGAGGUACGUAGUACUAUGAAUUCCAUUUUCGCUCCAUACCAAUCAUUCUAAAAACUACUUACUACUUAUAACGCGCCAUUGAAAAUCGGAACUCUUAACCCCGCUAAAAAAUGAUAUUUUAAACGUGGCUACUCGAUCUGUGGCAACUGGCGAGCCACCGCGCUCCAAGUCGUUCACCUGUGGUCCCGACCAUCAACUCCUACGGAUCAAAUUAUCACGCGAGCUGACUAUUCCUACAAAGGUGCUCCACCACGUACCCGGUACCCGCGAAUGCAGCAAUCGUGCACCUAAGGUUUUAGGGUUUAUUUGUUAACGUCGCCUUUACGUAACACUCAUGUGUGCGAGACAGCGAGAGGCUGACUGCGUGCGUGCGCUUCUUCUCUUCGUAUAUGUACUCCACCAUUUGUCUGGUGUCCAAAAAAUUAUAAUAACUACUAGCAAUGUGCCAAUGCGUUGCCACACGAUCAAAGUAGAUUAAUACAUAUUCACCGAUUUGAUAGAAAAAAGUCUAGUUUUGAAAUACGUAUAUCACUAAAAAUAUGUUAUGUUUCACUCAAAAUAUAUUCCUUUGGCGGUUUUGAUGAGAUAAGGGAGGAAUGUUGUUGGUUUCAAGAUUCGAGAAGUGGUAUAUGUCUAAUUUCUACUCUUACUAGCAAGAUGCCCGUGCGUUGCACGGAACAUCAAGAUCUUGUGGGAGAAAAGGAUGAACGAGGGAAGGCCUUAUCUGUAAAUGUGGUGAAGAGUGCGGGUAAAUUGCCAUAUUUUCCUUCCUAUCCGUCAGAUAUAAAUCGGACGACCUACAUUGUAGGAUGGCAGGCCCACCAUCAUCACCAACUCUAUUUUUUAUCCCUACUCUUAUAAAAAGCAUUGUCGGUGAUGAUCGUGUGCCUGCCAUCCUGCAAUAUAGGCCGUCCGAUCUAUAUCUUACGGAUAGGAAGGAAACUAUGGCAAUUUUGCAAAAAGAUACCCAUACCCCUCUCCACAUUUGCAAAUAAGGCCUUCCCUCAUUCAUCCUUUUCCCCCACAAGAUAAACUACUCAUACAAAUGCAUCUUGAUGUUCCGUGCAACGCAUGGGCAUCUUGCUAGUUGUUGCAAAAAGCCCAUGUGUGUGAGAGAGAGAGGGAGAGUGGAGGAGGACGGAGUGCAUGUGUGACAAAGACACAAGGAGUGUGUGUGCGAUAGGUAUCAGCUUAAAAUGAGGCGAUAGUGUGUGUGUGCACGAUCGAGAGAGCGUGUCUCAAGAAGGGAAGAAAAAUCUACAUAGAUACAAGGAGCGGGAGAGAGACAUGUAUGCGAUGGUGGAAGCACGAGUGUGCGGGUGUAUAAACCUAUCUAGAGGCUAGCUAGUCGAUAAAUGUUUGUGAGAGAAAUACGAGUCGGGGUGCGAAAGCGAGAGUUUUGUGUGUGUGAGAGAGAGACGGUAGUCAGGAAGGGGAGUGGAAGCAGGAGUUGUGUGUGUGUGUGUCUGUGAGAGAGAGAGAGAGGAGACGGUAGUCGGGGUUGUCUGAUCGGUAAACAAAUGAAUAAUGUCAGUCUGGGAUGGAGACGAAAAGGAGACCGCAACAAAUGUUGUGUCUACAGGAGAGAGAGAGAGAGAGAGAGAGAGUAAUUUUAGUGGUAUGAGUCAUAUGUAGAGACAUAUAGGGUGUGUGAGAGAAUCCCAUAGAGGGAAAGACAAACUGAAAGACGAGUGGAGACUGUGUGUGUGGCGGUGAAAAAGAAAGCUUAGGUACCGAGUGAUAGCAGAGAACAGUAGAGACGUGAGAGAUAAUGAAAACCGUGUAAUGUAUAAUGAUAGGGAGAGUGUGACACUUCUCAAGGGAGACGUCGAGAGACCAUGUUUGCGAGGAUAGGAGAAACAUGAAGUGAGCGUGCGGGUGAGCUAGAGAAAAGAGAGUGAUAGCUACCUGAAGGAGCAUGCAUGCGAGAGAGAUGGGCGUGAAAGGAGUGAACAAAAAAGGGAUUCAAAUAUUUGAAUUCGAGAUGAUGAUACAUGUAAUCCAUACUCGAACCAAAAUUGAUCUAUCAAACAUGCAUACUCAUAUGAAUUCACGCACAUCUAUGUUAUUUAAUAUGUAGAUAUUACUGAUCCAUACAUUUUAGUAGAACAUAAUUUGGUUAAAUUUUUUCGAAUUCAACCUUAAGAUUUCGAGAUCGUUGUAUUUGUAAAUCAUAUUAUACAUAUAAAGGAGCAGAAUUCUUUGUUGUGCUUUUGAAAGUAUAUAUAAAAAAUGAUGUAUAUAGAAUGUAAUUCCAAUUUAAAAUGGAUCCCGCGGGAAAAAAUAGAAUACAAACGGGAUUCGAAUUGAGUUGGCACGGUAAAUGUGCACUCUGCAAAAUUUGAACGAAGCGGGGAAAGUCGCAGUAACCGCCCGAAACCAAAAUCUGCGAGAUGGAAAUCACUACUGCCUAUCCCUGCCACGCAAAGCCUAUCUGCUGGAUUUCUAUAGGUUUCGAUAGGGGUAGGUUUGUAAUUUCACCCAAACGUGACGUAACCGCCUCUCACCCGGAUUCAUACACGGUGGGCGCCAAAACACAGUGUGUCCUCGGCCGAAAUCGAUUCCCUCCCCGAUUCAUAUUCAUACACGGUGGGCGCCAAAAACAAACUCUCGUCGGCAAAUAUUCGGUGUAUGCGAGAUUACCGUCCUAUCCCCAACCGACUAAUGUUGCUGUGAUGUAGUAGAAAUUUGAAACGGGGGCUAAGUUUGUAAAUUUCCUCGCAUUUGAGACAAGCGCGCCCUGAAUACAUGGUUCCCCCCUUCCUCUCUACCUCCCUUUUCCCCAUUCGUACUCCGUGGGCGCCAAAACACCCUCUCCACCCCACCCUCCUCCGUCCGCCGCCGUCCGCCACCCCAUCCACCGCCGUCCUCCUCCACCAUGUCGGAGUUGAUACCCCGACGCCGCCGUCCAUUACAAGAGAUCAACCUCUCUCAUCCACGGCUUCGGACCGGGAUCCUUGCAUCCCGUCCUCUCGCUUCAUCCCCGCCGUCAUCCACCUUGCCGGCGCCGCUCUACGACCGUCUCGUCCACCGCACCCCACCGCCACCGUCUACCCUCCUAGAUCUGCUUCCACGCCGCCGACAGCCAUCGCUACCGCAGCACCAUCAAAUUCUCAGCAGAUGCGUACACGGCGCCGCACGAGAGGCGGUACUCUUUCGUAUCUGCUCAACUUAUUUAUCGCAGCAAGAAAAUAGAUCGCCACUGCUUUACUCUGAUUUCUUGUCUUGGUUGCGAAGUUUCCUUUGUCCGGUUUGCACCUUCAGAUCCGCCAUGGCAUGCUCAACACUAUACUCCCAAUGCUUAUGGUUUUCCCCUUUUAUAUUCCACACUAGUUAAAUCACACUAGACUAAAUUUCAAAAUUAGGUCAGUCAAUUUUUCAGAGCUCGCCGGAGUUCGCCGGUGCGAUCGAAGGGGCUCGGGUGGUUGUGGGGCCUCGCCGAACGAAGGAAACUCGACACGGGUGGGGGUUGGGGCGGGGGUGGGGUGGCGGAGGAACACAGGCGGUGGGGGCGGUGGUCCGGCCGGCGGCCCGUGCGGUGUUCUGUAUGGGAAGAAUCAGAGACGAGGAAGAAGAAGGGUUAGGAGACGUAGGAUCUUCAUCCAACCGCCUGAAAUGGUCGAGAGACAGCUGGGAGUUGCAUUCUUAAUGCGCUCUGGUUCAUCAUGUGUGGGCACUGCGCAACCAACAUUUUAUUAUCCAAAAUCUGCUUGCUCUUCUUUACCAUGUUCCUCUUCCGUUCUUCUUUAAUAUGUACUCUCUCCAUUCCUAAAUACAAGUCUUUGUAUAGAUUCCACCAUGGACUACAUAUGGAGCAAAAUGAGUGAAUCUACACUCUAAAAUGUAUCUGGAUACAUCUGUAUGUGAUCCAUAGUGGAAAUCUCUACCAAGACUUAUAUUUUGGAACGGAGGGAGUAUGAUAGUAGUACAGUAUGUUCCUUAUACUGAAGAUGAGCAGGGACAUUUGCAGUGUAGAGGUCUAUACGGUCGGUUGUGAUGGACACUUUGAGCCUCUUUGAUUCGUAGGAUCUUGUAAACAUAAGAAUAGGAUUUGUAGUGGCCUGCCCACUUGAAUCCUAUAAGAAUAGCAAGGAAAUGCAGGGAGCUGUGUCGCCUUUGAGAGUUACACUGAUAUUAACAGUACCGCACCUUCACUUGAAGAGAGCUGGUAUCCGAAGCCUUUCUAGCCGUAUCGGCAAUACUAGCACAUAUAUUCCAGCAAGUUCCACUUUGCUGAUUUUACUCUGAUGCUUAAGGUUUUCCCGUUAUAUCUACACUAUGAUCUGUGUAGCUGCCUUGUGUCGCACUAGCAGCAGUCCACUCUUGAAGCUAAACACUGCAAUGACUUACAAAAUUGGCACCAAGGCAUUGAGUGCCAUUCUGGAUGCAAGGAAACUCGUACGCUCCCCACCUGUUGAUUCUUGUUCAGAAUAUGAUCCUAAUGACUAUUCUAACCUCGAGGAGUCAAAGGCAGAUGGCCUGUCCUGUUCACCCAUCAAGGUGCCUGUUCUAAUUUGGCAAUGUUUUAUUGAUUGCGGGUAUCUUGCAUAUGUUGUCUUGCAUUUCUUCUACUUUGUUGCACCGCCAUCUGCUUAGUUUACUCAUCAUAUAUGUCGAGAUGCCAUGCCCAUCCAUUAUCAAUACAUAUUCCAUCUGUCAUCAUACCAUGUUUUUUCACUCAAAUGUUGUUCUUGUGCAUCAGACAUCAAAAAGGAAGAGGGUGAUUGCCGAACCUGAGGGAGCACCAGCAAAGUCCUUGAAAAAUGUGGUGGUGCCGGAGAAAUCAGACAGCACCCCACUUAUAUUGGUUGUACAACCAGUGACACAAAACAUAGGACCGACUCCAGCAGACUGUACCCAUACUUCACUGGCCACACCACUAGCCCCACCACACAGGACCUGCACUCCAGCAAAAGGUAUACCGAUUUGAUUUGCCAUAGCACCAGCUGUACCACAGAAAAAUCCCACUCCAGCCAAAAGUACAGCAAGUCCACCGGCCGAAGACCUAUCCCAACUGUAGAGACGGCCAAUUCCUGCAGAUUGGAACCCCAUUCCAUUUAUUCCCAGUUUAAAAGACAAUGCUUUCAAUGCUGUUAGGGACUACGUGCAUAUAUUCCCAUCAUGGGAAGAUUAUUGUGAAGACAAACACCAUUUUCACAUCUUCCUGUCCAACUUACGUGUAAGUGCUAUUAUUCAUGGUUAUUAUUUUCCUGUUUUCUGCUGAUUGAACACAUCAAGGAUUUACAUUACAUUGUUGUAACUAGGCGAGGGUCAAUCUGGAUAGUCAUGACGAGCAAAGCUUGCUUGUGCUUUUCAAGGAAGCAUUGCAGCAGUAUCGGUGUUACCUGAGGAAAUCACGCUUUGAUGGCAAGUCUAUAAACGAAUUUCUGGUGAAGUCUCCUGUGCUAAAUUUAGAAGACAUUGAAUGGAAAAACCUUGUUAUGCACUGGUCUCAUUCCCAGGAUGAGGUACUGUCUAUGAAAUCACAUGACAAUUUGAACUUCUACUUUUCCGCAUGUGCCUUACGGAUCUUUUUUGCAGGAAAUCUGCUCGAAGAAGAAUUCUGGUUUGACAAGAACGACAGGAUAUCGCAAAUAUGCUGCCCGCUGCUUUGCUCUUGUUAGUACCUGUUGUCCUGUAUCACUGUACUUGCAUACAUACCUAGUUCAUUAUGUGACAGCAGUAUGCAUGAUAGCUUGCUUAUCAAUUGUUCGCUCCAAAUUAUCUGAUCUGUAUGAAUGGUUACAUUAGUGUAGAAUAUAUCCAAUGCCAAUGUUUUUUUAGCUCUGCAUUGUUCUUGUAAGUACAUGCUGUCCUUUAUCAGUGUACUUAUAAUGACAGGUAGUUGUUCAUGUACCAUCACUCUGCAGCUUAUUUUCCUUUGCCCUCCAUUUUCUACACAUCAGAUCUAUAUUUACUCUUACCAUAAGGUUGGUACUGAAGAAGUUUAGCUGUGCAUUGCUCUUGGCUGUACCUUUUGCCUGUAUCGCUGCACUUACAUUUAUAGCUACUUGGUUAUGUAGCAUCACUCUUCAUCUUAUCUUAAAUAUUCUCCAUUUUUUUGUAUAUUAUCACAUCUAUAUUUACUCUUAACAAAAUGUAGAAUAAAGGCAAUGCUUUUGAAGAAGAUUAUGUGGUAAACUUCUUGAAUUGCCCCCCCCCAUCAGCAUGGACAAGGCCUUUAUAGAGUCUAUCUUCACCAAUAAUGUAAGUUUGUCCAUCUCAAGCCUUCAAACUUUGUUGUAUAUAUUUGGUUAGGCAUGACUGCAACAGCUGUUUAGUUUUGGUGUUUGCAUCAAAUUGCUUGUUUAAAUUUUAUUAUGUACUUCAUAAACAAAAGUUUGUCCUUUCUAAAUUUAAGUUUUCAGUUGUACAACCAAGUUCCUUCUUCAUACCAUGUAAGUUAAACUAUACAGAGCAAGUGAUCUUCUUUUGCACUGCAUGUAUGCUUCUGUUCUUCAUCCGUAAUCCAGUGGUGUGGUGAACCUACCCACUACAGCACAAUGUCAUAUUCUGCAAUGUCUUAACUAUGAACAAUGUCAUAUCAUUCUACUAUUAUUUAAACCGUCUCUUUAUUUGCCAAUCUGAAAUGGUAUAAAUUGACAGCACACUAACCAUUGAUACUUAUGAGUUCUUGAUCUGUAAUCCAGUGGUGUCGUGAAGCUGCCAACUCCUUCACAAUGUCAUUUCCUGCCAUGUCUUGACCUGAACAAUACCAUAUUGUGUUAAUGCAAUUUUAAACUGUGUCACUUUAUUCGUCAGUAAGAAAUGUGAUGAAUUGUCAGCACUGAUACUUUUAUGUGCAAAACCUGUCAUUUGUCUGCUUGUUUAUCUUUCAGAGUGAGGAAGAUAUAAGUGUUGAACAAGCACAGUCUCAUCAUCUUGCUCAGCUGCUUGCGUUGCAGCUCCCCGGCAGGGCUAACCUUUCUUGAACUCUAUUGAAGUGCUGUCGGUUUUGCAUAUUAUUUUGUCGGCGUGUUUAUUUGCACUGGUGGCGAUCUUUGAUGCCCAGUGUAUGUAAUCUGCUGUCUGCUUGUGCUUUAUUAUCAUAGUGGCGAACUUUGAUGCCCAGUGGAUGUAAUAUGCCGUAAUUUCUUUAUUGUAUAGUCUAGGUUUUUUCUUAUUCACGAUGCUGUAGUUAUUUUACUGUAUAUAUAUCCUGUCUUUGCAGUAAACCGGCCAAACCGUAAAAUUACGGUACAUAAUCGGGCCGUCAUGCAAUCACGAUGUAGGUUGGGCCUGAAACGUGCCGAACAGCUCACGGGCCGGCAGGAGCCCGAAAUGAACCCCGGCCCAUGAUUGUGCGAAUCAAAUCACGGGCUUUUAACAGGCCAAAAUUGUCUCGGUCCUUGUUUGGCCCAAUCAGAUAUCGGCUGCGAGCAGGCCAGAUGCAAACCGGGCCGUAGUUAGGCCCAACUAUAUGACGGGCUUUUAACAGGCCAAAAUUAAUAUAUGGCCGAAAUGUUAAACGGGCCCUUAACAGGCCAAAACUAAUAUCAGGCCAAAUUACUAAGUGGGCCUUUAGCAAGUGGGCCCAAAAGCAUAGUGUCCAGUUGACGGGCCGAAUCUGAUAUGGGCCAUAAUUGAGCCCAAAGCCUCUUAAAGGGCCGGACCUGAUCUGGGCCGUAAUUUGGCCCAGAACGUGGUAGGCUUUUAACGGACCGGAUCUCAUAUGGGCCACUAUUAGGCCCGGAGCGUGGCAGGCCAUUAAUGGACCGGAUCAAAUAUGGGCCGGCAUUUGGCCCAAAACAUGGCAGGCCAGUUAAUGGGCCGGCCUACUAGGGUCCUCAAAAUCUUGUGGGCCUACAGCUGGGCCGACCCAUUAAUGUCGGCGAAAUCUCGUGGGCCUUUAGCUGGGCCGGCCCAUUAUGAUCCGCAAGAAUCUUGUGGGCCUUUACCUGGGACGUCCCAUUAUGGCACACAAAAAUCUUGUGGGCCUUUACCUGGGCCGGCCCAUUAUGGCCCGCAAAAUCUUGUCGGCCUUUAGCUGGGCCAGCCCAUUAUGGUCCGCAAAAUCUCGUGGGCCUUUAGCUGGUCCGGCCCAUUAUGGUCCGCAAAAUCUUGUGGGCCUUCAGUUGGGCCGGCCCAUUUAAACUUGAUGGGCCAGUCCACGUGUCAACAUAUCAUAGGCGCGUCUCGCCCAUUGGAUGAGUGACACCUGUGCCAACGCGGACCUGACACGUGUCUCCUCCAGCCAAUGAUGAUUUUACACGUGGAAAAUCCCCAUUGGUCGGGGCUGUUAACGGGUUAUCGAAUCCAAAACCAGACCUGAUAGCUUAACGGCGUUCCGUUACGGUGGAUGCCACGUGUCAGUCACCCUUGACGAAAGCACUUCUGUGACGCGCGAUUUAUCGUCAUGGAAGUGGACACUUCCGUGAUGAUAAUUUUGGUAAUGUCAUGGAACACUUCUACGACAGCACAGGUAUGACUAUCUUGAUUCUGUCAUAAAUUUGUCAUGGAUGUACAUGCAUGACAAAAAACGCGGCCUACUGUGACAAACACGUAUCAUCACGGAAGUGUAUUUUUUUGUAGUGUGGACUGCAGCUAAGCCCCCGAGUGGGAGGGUUGCUCACCACUCGGUAGGAUUUUCUACACUUACGCGAGUACUGGACUGCAGCUAAGCCCCCGAGUGGGAGGGUUGCUCACCACUCGGUAGGAUUUUUCACACUUAGGCGAGUACUGGACUGCAGCUAAGCCCCCGAGUGGGAGGCUUGCUCACCACUCGGUAGGAUUUUCUACACUUAGGCGAGUACUGGACUGCAGCUAAGCCCCCGAGUGAGAGGCUUGCUCACCACUCGGUAGGAUUUUUUACACUUAGGCGAGUACUGGACUGCAGCUAAGCCCCCGAGUGGGAGGCUUGCUCACCACUCGGUAGGAUUUUCUACACUUAGGCGAGUAUUGGACUGCAGCUAAGCCCCCGAGUGGGAGGCUUGCUCACCACUCGGUAGGAUUUUUUAAACUUAGGCGAGUACUGGACUGCAGCUAAGCCCCAGAGUGAGAGGCUUGCUCAUCACUCAGUAGGAUUUUUUAAACUUAGGCGAGUACUGGACUGCAGCUAAGCCCCCGAGUGAGAGGCUUGCUCAUCACUCGGUAGGACUUUUCAAACUUAGGCGAAACGGAUUCGCGGCUAAGCCCCCGAGUGAGAGGCUUGCUCAUCACUCGGUAGGAUUUUUCAAACUUAGGCGAAACGGAUUCGCGGCAAAGUCACCCACUGGGGGAUUUCAGACGCAAACAAAAGUAACAACAACCAUUUAGGAAGACUGUAAAGCUCUUGUCUUUGAUAAACAAACUACAAAGGUAUUUCUUAUUACAUCUCAUCCGAAUGAGUACUCAAGUAUAAAAGGGCCGGAGUAGCUCCGCGUUCCAAGCCCGUGGCUCGUCUUUCUGAUGCUCGACAUUGUAAAGAUGGUAUGCUCCAUUGUGGAGAACUCUGGUGACAAUGAAGGGACCUUCCCAAGCAGGGGCGAGCUUGUGUGGUUUCUGCUGAUCCACUCGAAGAACCAAGUCUUCCUCUUGAAAGGCUCGGCCCCUCACGUUUCUGGCGUGGAAUCGACGCAAGUCUUGCUGAUAAAUGGUCGACCGGAUUAAGGCCAUCUCUCUUUCCUCCUCUAGGAGAUCGACUGCGUCCUUCCGGGCCUGUUCUGCUUCAUCUUCAGAGAAGAGCUCGACUCGGGGUGCAUUGUGAAGCAAGUCACUCGGUAGAACAGCUUCAGCUCCAUAAACCAAAAAGAAUGGAGUUCGGCCAGUCGACCGAUUGGGAGUUGUCCUCAAUCCCCAAAGAACUGAUGGAAGUUCAUCAACCCAGGCGCCUGCUGCGUGCUUGAGAUCACGCAUUAGAUGGGGUUUCAGUCCUUUGAGAAUCAAGCCAUUUGCUCUUUCUGCUUGUCCAUUCGACUGUGGGUGGGCGACUGAAGCAUAGUCGACUCGUGUGCCUUGGGAAGCACAGAAGGCUCUGAACUCAUCAGAAUCAAAGUUCGACCCAUUAUCAGUGAUGAUGCUGUGUGGAACUCCAUAUCUGAAUGUCAAUUCUCUGAUGAAACUGAUGGCAGUACUAGCCUCAAGAUUCUUGAUAGGCUUGACUUCAAUCCAUUUGGUAAACUUGUCGACCGCUACAAGCACAUGAGUGAAGCCGCUCAUACCAGUCCUCAGGGGUCCGACCAUAUCCAAUCCCCAAACAGCAAAGGGCCAGACGAGUGGAAUAGUCUUCAGGGCUGACGCAGGCUUGUGGGACAUAUUGAAGUAAAACUGGCAGCCUUCACAUUUGUCGACUAUAUCUUUCGCCAUUUCAUUUGCUCGUGGCCAAUAAAAUACAGCUUGGUAUGCUUUGGCCACAAUGGUCCGAGAGGACGCAUGGUGACCACAGGUCCCCGAGUGGAUGUCGUUGAGGAUCAUUCGACCUUCUUCUGAUGUUAUGCAUUCCUGGCUGACUCCAGUUACGCUUUCCCUGAACAGAUGUCCUUUUUUCACAGUGAAGGCUUUGGAUCGACGGACGAUCUGUCGAGCCUCUUCUUCAUCCUCUGGGAGUUCCUUCCUAAGGAUAUACGCAACGUAUGGCACUGUCCAGUCGGGAGUGAUGACCAAAACCUCCAUGAUCAGGUCGACCACGGCUGGGACUUCGACUUCAGUCGGAUCUGUGGCACUCUUAGGCUGCGGGGGCUCUUCAGUGAAAGGAUCUUCUUGAACUGAAGGCAUAUGAAUGUGUUCUAAAAACACGUGGUUGGGAAUGGCUUCUCUCUUGGAACCUAUCUUUGCCAAAUCAUCGGCUGCUUAAUUUUUCAGUCGGGGUAUAUGAUGGAGCUCUAACCCCUCAAACUUCUUUUCCAACUUCCUCACCGCAUUGCAAUACCCAGUCAUAGCUGGGCUUCUGACGUCCCACUCCUUCAUCACUUGAUUGACUACCAAAUCUGAGUCGCCGUAGACCAUGAGGCGACGGACGCCGAGUGAGAUGGCCAUACGUAACCCAUACAAAAGUGCUUCAUAUUUCGCUUCGUUAUUGGAGGAAUCAAAGUGAAUCUGGAGAACAUAUCUAAGCUUGUCUCCUUGGGGGGAUACCAGUACCACCCCAGCACCGGAACCAUUUAGCAUCUUGGAACCAUCAAAAAACAUGGUCCAGUGCUCCGAGUGGAUUUGAGUCGGCAGUUGCUGUUCGAUCCACUCGGCGAGGAAAUAUGCUAUUGCUUGGGACUUCAUAGCUUUCUUUGCCUCAAACUUAAUAUCCAAGGGAAGGAGUUCAAUCGCCCACUUUGCCACUCGACCAGUUGCAUCUCUGUUGUUCAGAAUCUCUGAUAAUGGAGCGUCGCUGACGACUAUAAUGGAGUGGUCAGAGAAAUAAUGUGCAACCUUCUUCGUGGUCAUAUAAAUCCCAUAAACAAGCUUCUGAUAAUGUGGAUAUCUUUGCUUUGAUGGGGUCAAAACUUCAGAAACAUAAUAUACUGGGCGCUGAACUUUAUAGGCUUUUCCUUCCUCUUCCCGUUCGACCGUAAGUAAUGUACUGACAACUUGUCCAGUGGCUGCAAUGUAAAGUAGUAAAGGCUCUUUGUUGAUUGGGGCAACAAGCACCGGCUGGGUGGAAAGCAGGGCUUUGAGCUCUGCAAAUGCUGCAUCAGCUUCAGGAGUCCACUCGAACUUAUCAGACUUCUUCAUUAGUCGGUAAAGAGGCAAUGCCUUUUCACCGAGGCGAGAAAUGAAUCGACUUAAGGUGGCCAAACAACCAGUAAGCUUCUGGACAUCGUGCACACGCACAGGGCGCUUCAUUCGGAGAAUGGCGCCAACUUUCUCUGGGUUAGCAUCGAUCCCUCGUUCGGAAACAAGGAAACCGAGUAAUUUUCCGCCCGGAACUCCGAAUGUGCACUUUGAUGGAUUAAGCUUGAUAUCAUACCUUCUGAGGUUGGCAAAAGUUUCAGCAAGGUCAGCCAACAGGUCGGAACCUUUACGUGACUUGACCAUAAUGUCAUCCAUGUAUGCUUCCACAUCCGACUGAUUUGAGUGAGUAAACACUUCUGAAUCAUCCUCAUGAAUGUGGCUCCAGCAUUCUUCAGACUGAAUGGCAUGGUAACGUAACAGAAGCAGCCGAAUGGAGUGAUGAAAGCUGUUUUUAUCUCAUCGGGUCCAUACACGGAUCUGAUGAUACCCGGAAUAAGCGUCCAAAAAGGACAAGCGCUCACACCCUGCAGUCGAGUCAACAAUUUGAUCGAUGUGGGGGAGAGGAAAGUGAUCUUUCGGGCAGGCCCGAUUUAUAUGUUUGAAGUCAAUGCACAUGCGAAGUGAGUCAUCCUUCUUGGGACCAUGACAACAUUGGCUAACCACUCGGAGUGGUAAAUCUCUCAGAUAAACUCAGCUGCUAGGAGUCGAGCCACCUCUUCACCGAUUGCUUUUCUCUUCUGCACGGCGGACCGUCGAAGGUGUUCUUUGACCGGUUUCACUUUUGGGUCGACUCGCAAACGGUGCUCAGCCAGCCCCCUGGGAACACCUGGCAUGUCAGAAGGUUUCCAUGCAAAGAUGUCCAAGUUCUCACGGAGGAACUGGAUGAGCGCUUCUUCCUAUUUGGAGUCGAGUGUUGUCGAGAUGUGAGUCGGAGCAGCAUUGGGAUCGGUCGGGUAAAUAUGAAUCGGCUUCGUUUCACCAGACGACUAAAAUGCUGAAUCCGUGGCAGGCUUCUUAGCUCGCAACAAAUCACUCGGAUCUGCAUUUUUUUGAUACUCCUGUAAUUCCACAGUUGCCAUUUGUGCAUCGGCGAUCUUUGAGCCCUUCUGAAAGCACUCUUCUGCCUUCUUCCGAUUGCCAGUGAUGGUAAUCACUCCUUUAGGACCAGGCAUCUUCAAUUUAAGGUAAACGUAACAUGGUCGAGCCAUGAAACGUGCAUAAGUUGGCCUGCCUAGAAUAGCAUGAUAAGCGCUCUGGAAAUCGACGACUUCAAACAUCAACUUUUCCUUGCGAUAAUUCUUGGAAUCACCGAAAACCACAUUGAGGGCAAUCUGGCCGAGUGACUCAGCCUUCUUGCCAGGAAUAACCCCAUGGAAACUCAUAUUGCUUUCACUGAGUCUGGACAUCGGAAUGCCCAUUCCUUUCAAGGUCUCCGCAUACAGUAUGUUCAGACCACUGCCACCAUCCAUCAGAACCUUAGUCAACCGAGUGCCUUCGACGACUGGGUCGACCACCAAUGCUUGCCUCCCAGGGGUGGCUAUGUGUGUCGGGUGAUCAGUCUGGUCGAAUGUAAUGGCGGUCUGGGACCACUUUAAAUAACUGGGCGUCGCCGGAGCGACCAUGUUCACUUCUCUGUUGAUGACUUUCAGUCGACUCUUGCUCUCAACAUCAGCGAAAAUCAUCAGAGUGGAAUUGACCUGGGGGUAACCAUCAUCUUCCUCUUCCUUAUCCUCAACUUUGUCCGAUUCUUUCUCCUUUUCUUUGGGUUGUUUCUCUCGGAACUGCUGGAUUAGGAGCCGACAUUGUCGAGUGGCGUGUUUCGGGUAAAUGAGAUUACCCUCCUCAUAUUUUUUGAUGUGAAUGUGGCAUGGUAAAUCCAACACAUCAUUUCCGUCUUGAUCUUUUACUUUCUUGGGGUUCCAUGGCCCUUUGGGCUUCCCCUUGAACUUUCCUUGAGUCACGGCUAAGGUUUCUCCAGGAGCAGCUGGCUCGGCUUUGCGCUUCUGCUUCCGACUGGAGUUCCCUCCCCCGGUUUCGUGGGCGACUGUUUUGUGCUUGCUACUCCGGAGCCGAUCCUCUUCUUCACCAUUAGCAUACUUGGUGGCAAUUUCCAUCAUUCGACUCAGAGACAUAUCUCCGGUCCGACCGAACUUCAGAUUCAAUUCUCGAUACUUGACGCCUUCCUUGAAGGCACAAACUGCUUGGUGAUCAGACAUAUUUUCCACUGUGUGGUGCAACGUGAUCCACCUCUGGAUAUAAUCUCUCAAAGUUUCAUUCGACUUCUGCACACAAGACUGUAGCUCAGUUAGCCCCGCUGGUCGUUUGCAUGUACCCUCAAAUGUUUUGACAAACACUCGGGCAAGCUCUUCCCAACUGUAAAUAUUGCCAGGUGCUAACUGGUUCAACCACACUCUGGCCGAACCCUCUAACAUCAGAGGCAGGUGCUUCAUGGCCACUUCGUCAUUGCCACCACCAAUCUGCACAGCCACUCGGUAGUCCUCAAGCCAAGUGUCAGGCUUGGACUCACCAGUGAAUUUGCUGACUCCAGUCGCCAACCUGAAGUUGGGAGGAAUCACUGCUGCCCUGAUGGCUCUGCUGAAACACUCGGGACCUGAAACAUGCACCCUGCUGCCGGUCGGGUAAUCUCUAUCAUGGCCAUCUCUGUGUGCUCUGUUCCUGUCAACCAAACCUUGAACGAGAAUGGACCUCGCGUCAAAGCAUGGCUCCCGGGGGUCGACUGGAGUCCUUCGCCCACCACUGUGAGGGCGCCUGUCAUCGUGUUGCCGAGGUGCGUAUGACCCACUCCUUAGGGGAGGCGUGGGCACUCGGCGACGAUCAUCGUGGUCGAGUCGGUGAUCAUACUGCUCACGGUUUCUGUACAGAUCUCGUCGGUCUCCAUGUCCCUCACGCCUCGGGGGCGAUCUUGGACUGUGAGUCGACUGGAUUGUGUCUGCUACCACGGAUCUGCUAUGGAUCCUAUUCCGCGACUGAGAUACUGAUGUGUUUUGUUCUCCUGCUGCCCGGAGUAAAGCCUGAUCUGCAUCAAACCUCUGCCAGCUUCUGACUGGGAGGGCUGGAUCGACUCUGCUAUUCGGGCUGCAGCUGUGAGAUUCUGAAUCGGAGUUCGGUAUACCUGAGUAGGAGGCGGAAAAAGUUGUCGUCGACUGGACUCAGGAAUCCGCUGCCGAGCACGCUCGUCGAGUGCGUGCUGGAGAUUCUCCAGUCGAGUGCGCUCAGCCAAGUUGGCCAGGCGCACCUCCUCCAAGGCCCGGGCCUCGGGGGUUUCUCCAACGAUAGGAGUGUGAAGUGCAUCCAUGUUGCGGCGGCGAAGCUCUUCCCUCUGCUGCGAAGAGAGGGGCUCGGGGCGGUACUCCUCGUGGGCACGCGACGGAUCGCCUCCGCCGUCACCACCAUCCUCGCGGGGGAAGCCAGGAGGACUGCGCGGUCCGUUGACCAUCAGGACUUCCGCCGUGGGGUCACUGCGUCGCACUCGUACGCGGUCUCAACGGAGCCAGUCGAACAGGCCGUAGAGAGUUUCGUCGGGCUCGAUUGCCGCGACUUGGGGGUGGCCGAUUGGCGAGCCACCGCGUGCCUCACCCACCGCUGGAGCCUCGACCGACCGGAACGCUUGUGCCGGCGGACAGCGGGGAGUGAAGACGCCACCGGAGCCGACCGAUACUGAGUCGACGGCUGCCGCAGGAGGACGUCGCGGACGUAUGCGCGAAAGUGCGUUGCCCCGCGGACGGGGAGCGCCUCGACGUCGAGUGGAGCUUCUUGGAGCCAAGCGGAGUCGUCGGCGAUGAACACGAGCGCGCUGAAACGGAUCUCGCGGCCCUCGGCCAAUCCUCUGCCUGAAACCAUGCUGAUGGGGAUCGGAAAAAUCGCAACUUCUCCAACAAGUCGCUAAGACACCUGCCCCAAGGUGGGCGCCAACUGUCGUGGUUCUAUGUCUGACAGUAGAAUGGGGGGUAGGGAUGUAGAGGCAAGAUCUUAGCUAUGGGGAAGUUGUACGCAAGAGUUUUACGAGUUCAGGCCCUUCUCGGAGGAAGUAACAGCCCUACGUCUCGGAGCCCGGAGGCGGUCGACUGGAUUAUAUGCGUGUGUGUGUGUGUGUGUUACAGGGGAUGCGAACCCUUGUCUCAGAGGAGGGGGUGGCUUAUAUAGAGUGUGUCAAGACCCCAGCUCCCCUCCGUUACACAGGAUUCAAUGUACAUAAAGUGAGAGCGUUACAGGUAACGUCAAUAAUAAAGUGCUAUAAAUGAUCAUUAAGUCUAUGAGUAAACGUCCGACCGUUGCUGCGCAGAGUGGCUUUAGGUCUUCUGCACGUCGAGUGGUUGAGUGGUCGAGUGACCUAAAUAAGGAGAGAUCUUCGAGUGAAUGGUAGGUCGAGUGGAUUGCACUCGACACCUUUGUUGAGCCCUCUCUAUUUGCUCUUGAACUUCUUUGCUUCUAGGACAAGGACCUUAGGUAGGACGUAUAGGUCAGGCCUAUCGCCCUACCCUAGGUCUAUGUCCUCAUCAAUUGCCGCAUUUUAUAAUUAUGAAAUCUGGCAAAUGGACGUCCAAAUUGCAUUCCUUAAUGGAUUUCUUAAGAAAAGUUGUAUAUGAUGCGACCAGAAGGUUUUGUCGAUCCUAAAGGUGCUAACAAAGUGUGCAAGCUCCAGCGAUCCAUCUAUGGACUGGUGCAAGCAUCUCGGAGUUGGAAUAUACGCUUUGAUGAGGUGAUCAAAGCAUAUGGUUUAUACAGACUUACGGUGAAGUCUGUAUUUACAAGAAAGUGAGUGGGAGCUCUGUAGCAUUUCUAAUAUUAUAUGUGGAUGACAUAUUGCUGAUUGGAAAUGAUAUAGAAUUUCUGGAUAGCAUAAAAGGAUACUUGAAUAAGAAUUUUUCAAUGAAAGACCUCGGUGAAGCUUACAUGUUGGGCAUCAAGAUCUAUAGAGAUAGAUCAAGACGCUUGAUAAGACUUUCAACGAGUACAUAUCUUGACAAGGUUUUGAAGGAGUUCGAAAUGGAUCAGUCAAGGAAGGAGUUCUAGCCUAUAUUGUAAGGUGUGAAUUUGAGUAAGACUCAAAGCCCGACCAUGACAGAAGAUAGAAAGAGAAUGAAAGUCAUUCUCUAUGCCUCAGCCAUAGGUUCCAUAAAGUAUGCCAUGCUGUGUACCAGACCUGUUGUGUGCCUUGCCAUGAGUUUGGCAAGGGGGUACAACAGUGAUCCAGGAGUAGAUCACUGGACAGCGGUCAAAAUUAUCCUUAGUUACCUAAGAGGACUAAGGAAAUAUUUCUCGGUUUAUGGAGGUGAUAAAGAGUUCAUCAUAAAGGGUUACGUCGAUGCAAGCUUCGACACUGACUCGGAUGACUCUGAGUCUCAAUCCGGAUACGUAUUGAAAGUGGGAGCAAUUAGCUAGAGUAGCUCCAUGCAGAGCUUUGUAGACAUAGAAAUUUACAAAAUACAUACGGAUCUGAAUAUGGCAGACCCGUUGACUAAACACCUCUCACAAGAAAAACAUGAUCACACCUUAGUACUUUUUGGGGUAUUAAUCACAUGGCGGUGUUAACUAGAUUAUUGACUCUAGUAAACUCUUUGGGUGUUAGUCACAUGGCGAUGUGAACUAUGGAUGUUAAUCACAUGACGAUGUGAACUAGAUUAUUGACUCUAGUGCAAGUGGGAAACUAAUGGAAAUAUGCCUUAGAGGCAAUAAUAAAGUUGUUAUUAUUAUAUUUCCUUAUUCAUGAUAAAGGUUUAUUAUUCAUGCUAGAAUUGUAUUUACCGGAAACUUAAAUACAUGUGUGGAUACAUAAACAAAUACCGUGUCCCUAGUGAGCCUCUACUAGACUAGCUCGUUGAUCAAAAGAUGGUUAAGGUUUCCUAACCAUAGACAUAAGUUGUCAUUUGAUAAUGGGAUCACAUCAUUAGGAGAAUGAUGUGAUGGACAAGACCCAUCCAUUAGCUUAGCAUAUGAUCGUUCAGUUUAUUGCUACUGCUUUGUUAAUGUCAAAUACAUGUUCCUUCGACCAUGAGAUCAUGCAACUCCCGGAUACCGGAGGAAUACCUUGUGUGCUAUCAAACGUCACAACGUAACUGGGUGUUUAUAAAGAUGCUCUACAGGUAUCUCCGAAGGUGUCUGUUGAGUUCGCAUGGAUCGAGAUUGGGAUUUGUCACUCCGUGUAUCAGAGAUGUAUCUCUAGGCCCUCUCAGUAAUACAAAUCCUAAGAACCUUGCAAGCAAAGUGACUAAGGAGUUAGUUGCAAGAUGAUGUAUUAUGGAACGAGUAAAGAGACUUACCGGUAGCGAGAUUGAACUAGGUAUGAAGAUACCGACGAUCGAAUCUCGGGCAAGUAAUAUACCGAUAGACAAAGGGAAUUACGUGUGUUGUCAUAAGGUUCGACCGAUAAAGAUCUUCGUAGAAUAUGUAGGAACCGAUAUGGACAUCCAGGUUCCGCUAUUGGUUACUGACCGUAGAGGUGUCUCGGUCAUGUCUACAUAGUCUAACCCGUAGGGUCCGCACGCUUAAUGUUCGUUGACGAUAUAUAUAGUGUUACAUGAGUUAUGUGAUUUGGUGACCGAAUGUUGUUCGGAGUCCCGGAUGAGAUCACGGACAUGACGAGGAGCUCUGGAAUGGUCCGGAGGUAAAUAUUGUUAUAUAGGACGAUACUAUUUGGACACCGGAAGAGUUUCGGGAGGUACCGGGUAGUCAUCGGAUCACCAGAAGGGGUUCCGGGAAGCCCGAGAGGCUAUAUGGGCUUAAUGGGCCAAGGGGGGAACACACCAGCCCACAAGGGGCUGGUGCGCCCUCUCCAUGGCCGUCGGCCCUAGGGGAAGGGGGGGAGGGUUGACCCCUCCUACCUUUCCCUCCUCAUGAGAGAAAGGAAAGGGGGCGCCACCUCCCCUGCCUUCCUCCCGCGCACAAGUAAGGAAAGGGGUGCGGCUAGGGCAGGAGCCCAAGGAGGAUUCGGCCUCCUUGGGGCGCCUCCUGGCUGCCUCCCCUCUCCCCCCACCUAUAUAUAUGAGGGAGGGGCGCUACACAAGACCACGACAAUCUCUUAGUCGUGUGCGGCGCCCCUCUCCAGAGUUUUGUCCCUCGGUCAUAUUUUUGUAGUGCUUAGGCGAAGCCCUGCGGAGAUAGCGUCACCAUCACCGUCACCACGCCGUCGUGCUGCCGGAACUCAUCCACUACUUCGCCUGUCUUGCUGGAUCAAGAAGGCGAGGACGUCACCGAGCUGAACGUGUGCUGAACGCGGAGGUGCCGUACGUUAGGUACUCGAUCGGUUGGAUCACGAAGAAGUCAUCAACCGUGUUACUAAACGCUUCCGCUUACGGUCUACGGGGGUACGUAGACACACUCUCCCCUCUUGUUGCUAUGCAUCUCCAUGGAUAGAUCUUGCAUGUGCGCAGAAUUUUUUUGUUUUCCAUGCAACGUUCCCCUUCAAAUACUACCGGAACAAAAGUGGGUAUUGAUCGGAACUUAGAAACCCCUUGAACGAUAUAGAAAAAUACAUACAAACCACAAACUUAAUCGCUAACAUGGUCCUUCCAAAUUGUUAACAUGGCUAUAAAAUAAUAUGAUUAGUUUAGUGACUUAGCAUAGUAUUGUAAUAGUACUGGACAAUUGUGUGGGUCUAGUUGAGUACUUGCGUGGUAGUAGAAGAUGGAUUGAUGGUUGGGCUACAUUGCAGCCAUUGACAUAGUAAAGACGAAAUUCCAUAUUCACAUAAACGAAAAGUUCCGUUUCCAUGUCUAUUUCAUCAGAAAACAUUGUUCCGUUUCCGCGUAAAAGAAUUUGUUUUCGUUUUUGUUUCCCUCCGGAAAAGGGAAAAGUUUUCGCUCAGUUUUUAUCCCUAUUGGUGGACUAUGAAAACAUGCCUCUUCUNNNNNNNNNNNNNNNNNNNNNNNNNNNNNNNNNNNNNNNNNNNNNNNNNNNNNNNNNNNNNNNNNNNNNNNNNNNNNNNNNNNNNNNNNNNNNNNNNNNNNNNNNNNNNNNNNNNNNNNNNNNNNNNNNNNNNNNNNNNNNNNNNNNNNNNNNNNNNNNNNNNNNNNNNNNNNNNNNNNNNNNNNNNNNNNNNNNNNNNNNNNNNNNNNNNNNNNNNNNNNNNNNUUAAGUAUUAUUUUGUGGGGGCUGCUUUCGUUUAGUUAAAAAUAUAAAAGUUCUUAUUUAUUUAUUUUCAAACGCACACAACCUGUCAUAGUUUCCAAAUUUGAAACAGAAACAUGUCUACGCUACAUGAGCAUUUUCACAUGUCAAAAAAAGUUGCUGCAAUAAAAUAUGCUUUUCGACCUCUCACCCUCGUGUUCUUAUGUUUGGAUCCAAUAACCCACUUUUUACAAGCAAGAGUUUAUUUUUUAAAAAAAGCCCAAGAAUACACUCAAAAUAAAGAGAUCAUCAUGCUAGUACACACUGUACUGGUACCGCAAGAUUGUGUGAUCAUGAUUAUUUGCCACCACAAGCCAAUGAGGAUGAAGAUGAGAAGGAAAAUUACCCCCGGUCGAAAGCUACAUUUUGAUUUCCAAUUGGCUGUCACAUUUUCCAAUUCUGAAUAGUAACCCACAACAAAGUAGACCAGAAAAGAAAAGGAACAGAUUAAGCCACAUAAGCCUACGAUCUGGGCCAAAAACUGUGGACGUCCUCUCCGUUACCCUGACAGCCUUUUCAACAGGAAAGGUGGAUUGCCGUCCGGGAAGGCACGCCUGCGAACUGCAAAUCGCCUCCGGCUUACAGCGCAACAGCCACGACAGAAACAGAAAUGCCAACAACAUGUGACCUGACCACUAGGCGAGCAGUACAUGGAUCCGUGGCGAAUGACACCGGUGUGAGUCAUAAAGACGCGCACCGCAGACGAAUAUGCCGACCAGAUAUCCCGGCAGGGACUCCAGUUGGCAAUGGCCGCAAGUGAUAUAUGUCGAUCAUCACCAACAGCCAUCAAUCAGUCAGUCACCCCUGGAUCGGAUCCGAUCAGCGAGAAAUGGAUACUACUCGUACAUCGGUACAUGAUUGCAUUAUUGCCGAUGGACGCUAUCAGAGUCGGGACAUAAAGCUAGCAGGUGUUCCUGGUAAGUGGUAAUCACUAAUCAGUGGCCUCCUCCUAUCCGUAUCCAUUCAUCCAUCUUUCUGCCAUCUCUGCUCUGCUGCUGCUGUAUGAUGCCCAUCAGCAGAUGCGUCGCCCGGCCAUGAUGAUCCAGUGGCAACUUGUCCUCAUCUGCCCCAUGAUUGGAAGAAAGCUUUGUUCUAGCUUAUGUUAAACAGAAUGGACGCAUGCAUGCACCGGAGAGAGCAGAGGUCGAUCGAUAGAUCUGGAGCAGUGUCACCAGGAAUGUAAAAAGGCUGGUUAAAUUAUUAUUUUUGUAGUAAGAUCCAACAGCCUGAAAAAUGAAAAGUCAUCAACAGGUCUGUGUACAUGACAAACAACUUUCGGUGACACAACCAUGUCGGUGCACGCGGGAUGCAGUGGAAGCAUGAAAUCUAGAUUCAAUAAAUUGGCCAGCUGGAAUUCCAAACGACAUAUCUUAUCAUGCAACUUGCAGGAUAGGACGAUCCAGAUCGAUGGUGGAUGAGUCCAGUCCACUAGCGAAGAAUGAGCCAAGCAAGUGAGUGUGGUUCUACCAACCAGACCAGGAGAGGACCAGGACCAGCCCCACCAUGCAUGCAGGUGCAGCAGAUAGCUAGAGUAGCUCUGCUUUCUCCCCCAGGCGGCGCCGGAAAUUAAUUCCUCGGCUUUCUGACGUUGCAUCCGUCAUUAAAAAAAACUUUCAUUCUAUUUGUCUUAAAUCAUGGCAGUACAAUUGUCUGUGGUUUUCAGGUCACGGAUCAUGGAUGGAGUUGGACCCUGGCCAGACAAUCCUAAUUGCCCCUUCAGCAUCUGAAAUGUUCAUAGUGAUCUUUUUGGUUUGUUUUCAAGCAAAAGUUUAGCUCCCUUAAAAAAGAAAUGGUAUAGUUCCCUCCUGUUGUUUUUACGUGCUUGUUUACUUUGUCCGCGUGCAUAUCAGCCUCUUAUGUAUGGCUUUAACGCACUAACCACCUCAGAAGAAGCAAAGUGCACCAGCUCAUGAACCAAAGCGGUUUUGCAUCCAUGUCUAUGUGCUCAUCAGUGGAGUGUACGUACGACUUCUGGAUUCCUAUAUUGGAAUUAGUGGUCCUAGCCUCAGGCUCUAGAAUCUUCCGUGUGCAUGUCUAUACGCCUAGCAGCGGACACCUUUGCUUGCAGUUGCAGCCUACGGGGGCGGCGCACCGAGGUCCGAGGGCUUUGUAUGUGAGCUGGAAACCAACGGCAGCACGGCGCCGCUUGGCAUCUAAUGUCCGUACUCGCGAUUCUCACCUUUAUAUAUCUAUUCUGGAACAAGUUGGGUCGAAAUAUCCAAAAUAUAUGUAGUGUUCUGGCCGUCAUCGAAUGUACUCCCCCGUCCUAUAAUGUGACAUUGUAGUGUCAAGAAACGUUUUACUAGUGUCAAGAAACGUCUUACAUUAUGAGAUGAAGGGAGUGCUUGUUUGUUUCUUGCUCGUGAUGCAUGGAGCAGAGAUGUAUGGUUUUGUGCUGUAUGAUUUGCUUCGAUCGGGAUGUUCACGCAUGUCUAAUCUAAUCAUUUAGGCCCCGCAAAGAGAAUGUCUAAUCAUUUAGGUUGCGUUUGAGAAUCAAGUCGCCGGCAGGCAACGUGCACUCGUGCUCUCCUCGAUCGGCCAUCAGACGGGCUCCGGUCUCGAGAACUAUGUGAUUUUUAGUGUCAAAAAAGAGCUUGAGAAGUAUGUGAAAAUUUGCCAAUUCUAGAUUGAAUGGCAUUCGAUUUGUGCGAACUACCAUUGCCUUGGACUCUAAGAAAAACAUCACACCGUGCGCAUGCAUGUACUGUACGAGAGAGCGUCGCUUGCGGUGCCCAGUGCAGCUACGAUAUGCGCAGUGCUUGGUGACUCGUACACGCGACACCGGAAACGGAGUAAAUAUCUGAUCUGUGCAAGUACAGGAGAACACCGGAGACGGAGUGCUACGGAAAACUCCCAUCUGAUCUGUGCAAGUAGCUUCUGUGGGAUAGUAGGGAUCUGGAUCCUAAGAAGGAAAAGCCAACAAGAUGGCAUGGAUCCACGUCGACCAACACGCGUGAGCCCACAGCGCUGCGCCCACUAUAUCGUCAGAAUGACUAGGCAAGAAAUUAAAGGACACAGCCGAUGAGGCAUUGAGAUGAGUGGUGGUAUCAUAGCACUGGGUCCCGUCCCGUUCAGAGGUGCCUAGCAAUCAGAUCUGGCCUACAUGAUCAGGACACCUAGCUAGACUGGUUGGUGCUUGGCUAAAAAUAGGGCACGGAAGGAGGCGACACAUUCUAGACAUUUCCAGUUCCACAAGCAUUGAUUUUCUUUUUUCUUUUUCUUUUUUUCUUUUUUGUGGCGGAGAUGCAAGUUUCAAUAUCGACACUGACUGCCAAUGGAUUUGCCGAACCAGGAAACAAAUUUGAGAUUCCAGUGAGUGCAAGCACGAGCACAUGUUUUCCCACUAAGAAUUCACUGGAUGUGUUAACCCAAAUUUAAUCUGUAAUACACCUGCAGCCUGCAGGAAUGAAUGCAUGUCCACGGCUUUCCGAAAGGAUCCUUGAUUCGUUUUCAUCAACUAUGUAUUCAUUAACGUUUCGUCAAUUUCACAACUACGACUUCAAAACAUCAGAUCAUUGAUGUAGCUUGAUCGUGCCAUAAGUGUUUUCAUACAAGUGCUUUCCAAGCUUUGCCCACCGAGUAGGCUUGACAAGGCACUAUUGCUCAACAAUUACAAACUUAGCUCAACCGCCAAAGCAGUUAGAUAAACAGUUACAAACCUAGCUCAAUCGCCAAAGCAGUUAGAUAAAAACUUAUUUGGGUAUCUGGUGAGGCGACCGUAUAUAUACUAUUGCAAUUACCUACUCUCUCUGUCCGAAAAUAAGUGUUUCAACUUUGUAACUCUAUUACAAAGUUUUACUAAGGUUGAAACACUUAUUUUGGGACGGAGGGAGUAUAAAAAAAAUGCAAAAGUAUUAUAACCUUAUUACAUUAGUUAAAAACGAUCACGUACCCUGUGUUAGUUAAGUGCUGAUGUAGCUACAAACCAUUGAUUAUUAGAGUUGUGGGUUUGUUGGUCUUGCUGCAGGAAGCUACAAAGUUGGUUGUAGCUUGUGUUGGCUGGAGGGCAUCUAGCCGACGAGCUAACUGCUAAAGUGGUUCCUUCGAGAGAUGUCCAGGACUUCUGUGAGAAACCAUGGGCGAAAUAUGGACGUAAUCACACUCUAUUAGGAUAUAGCUACAUAGUAUGGACGUAACCCUCGGCUGUUUCUUAUUACCAGCUUCUGCCAAAACACAUGCAAUGACGUCUAAUGAUUACCGGUGAAGAGGUGCAGGGUACGUGCAUCUUCAUUCGUUAUAUCAUUCAUCUGGGUAAAUACAUCCUCAUUCAUAACAUCACAGAAACACAUCAGUUCAAGAUGGGAUGAUUGUUCUGUCUAGAAUGUACAGUAAUUCUCGAGAAGAUGAAACACAAGACAGCAAAGGUUUCAAAAGUCACACCGGAGAGAUUAAUAGUGCAUACAUUGCAAGGCCAACUAGAAUGUACUUAUUCUUCAAAAAUAAUUCAUAAUGUACAACCAAGACAGCUUUAAAGAAAGAGCCUAUUCUCUGGACUGGAAAAGUGUCAACUGAACAGGGGCAUUUCUCACCUAAAAAAACCAGAGCCGUCGAAUGAACUAACUAUAUUCCUAUAUUCUUUGGUUGGAAAAAGAAGAAUCUGAGCACGGGUAAUUGCCCAAAAAGACAGAACUCCGGUGAAUGGGGUAUAUUUGUAAACUGCCUGACGUGGCCGUAUAUUUUCUUCAUUUCCUGUAAAAACAUCUACAAGCUGGC